Molecule: long non-coding RNA, 58433 nt
Filed under: Phaseolus vulgaris (common bean)
Lineage: Eukaryota; Viridiplantae; Streptophyta; Magnoliopsida; Fabales; Fabaceae
Description: long non-coding RNA (PVUL_LNC002081)
Source: RNAcentral
UAUACAGUCUGUCAGUUCACGUUACCCCUUACUAAAAUACGCUAAGAAAAGGAUUUCACAUAUUCAACCCUAAGAGAAUGUUUCAUAAGAUAAAUCUUUGUUUGAAAUGAAAGAUAUUUACGCAACAAUAAAAAAGAGAACGAAAAUGGGUAAGAGGAAACGUUGGAAUUUGUAAUGAGGUGUGCAGGGAGGAUUUUAUUACCAUGUGGUGUGAUGCAAGGGUGGUAUCUAGUAGUGGUAAGGAGGAGGAGGAGGAGGGGAUUUGUAGUAGUAGUGGGGUGGAGGUGGUGAAGGGACUGGAGGAGGAGGAGACUUGUACUUAUAAGGCUUCUUGUGAGGUGAUGGUGGAGGAGAGUGGUAAACUGGGGUGGGGACAUGGGGAGGGUAGGUGGGAACUGGUGGCGGUGGGGAGUGGUAGACUGGGUGGGGGUGAGGGUAGCGGUGCCUGUGCACUGGUGGAGGAGGGGAAGAGUAUUUGUAUGACUUCUUAGGAGGGGGUGGAGGAGAGUGGUAAACUGGGUGUGGGUGAGGGUAAGGCUUGUGCACUGGUGGUGGGGGAGAUGGGUAUUUGUAUGGCUUCUUUGGUGGUGGAGGUGGUGGGGAGUGGUAGAUUGGGUGAGGGUGAGGGUGAGGGUGUGGGUGAGGGUAAUGGUGAGGAGGGGGUGGAGGAGAUUGGUAGACUGGGUGUGGAUGAGGGUAGGGCUUGUGCACUGGUGGUGGUGGAGAUUGGUAGACUGGGUGUGGAUGAGGGUAGGGCUUGUGCACUGGUGGUGGUGGAGAUGGGUAGUGGUAGGGAGGUGGUGGUGAGGAGACUGGUGGAGGUGGAGGAGAGGAGUAGGAGUAGUGGUUGCCGGAGAUUUGAGAUGGGAGGCUGAAAAGGAUAAUGGCAAAUGCAAGAGUGAUAGAAGCAGAGGCCAUUAGGGACCCCAUUUUCCUCCAACUGAGUUUUGGUUAUGCUCUAAAGUGAGCUUCUGCAUCCCUUUUUAUAGUUGCUUCUGAACCAUUUAACUCCAACCUACACCUUUCUUAACUCUACUUUUUUUCACUUCCACACUCACCUUCUCGGAAACACGUUAUCACGUACGUAAUCCUGGUUUUGAACUAUUGCCAUGACAUUGACUUUCAAACCCUUUGGAACACGGUUUUGGAUUCGAUUCAUCUAUCAAAAUAUUACGUGCCUUUUUUUAUGCAGAUCUCUAAUCAAAAUAUCAACUUCAUUUGAUGAUGUGUAAUGUAUUCUUCCUAUUAUGCAUGUUGUUGAAGUAAAACUUCACUUAUGAUCAUGAUUGAAUAGGAGCAUUAAAAAAUACUAACCAAAAACAUCUAAGUUUUGUUGCUUUGAAACUAAUUAAGAAGGUUAACAUUACAAGUUAAAUAUGGUAAACUUAUUGGUUUGAAUUAUUCUGAGUCAUAAAUAUUGUAUUGUAGAAGUGCUUUUGAUUGUGUAGAAAUGAAAAAGGUAAAAUAAAAAUAAGUGCAGGGAUGCCAGACUGUGGAGUCUGUAGCUAGGCUGAAAUGCUGACACAACCUUUAUUUUUCUCUGUGUGGCGGAAGAAAAGACAAACAAUAUGAUUUAAUUAUUUGUUGCUUCUAGCACUGAAACAUCACUCUGUUAAAAAACAUGCAUAAUUUUUGGGUACUACUUUUUCGUUAAAAUAAUGACAUAAAUGAAUUCAGCUGUAUCAAUUGAGGAACUAAAGUAAAAAUAUGGAUAAAUUUUUCACAUAUUUUAAAAAUUAUUUUUCUAACUUACUUUCCCAAUUCAUAUCUAAUUUCAGAAUCUUUGAAACUUGUACUUGUCUAAAGUGGUACUGCAUGAUAUAGGGGCACCUAAAACUACAUAUUUUUCAUCCUUCCCUGUCAUUAAUUAAGUAUUUAUUAAACUAUUUUUUCAGUUCUAAUAACUGUAUGAAAAAAAAAAAUCUCCACUGAACAAACUACAAGUUUUUUUUUCUCUUUUUUUUAUAUAUUUUAAUAAGUAUUUUUAGAAAACUAAAUAAAAAGGAACUCAAACAUUUUUAUAGGCUAAAUUUCUUUAAAAAAUUGUGCAUCGUAAGAAGGAUAAGUGGGAAGGUUUCAACUUGGGAGAUAACACUCUAAAGUGAAAAAACAUUUUAAAUUGGGAGUUGAACUUUCUUUGCCAGCUCAAUGCAGGUCCAUAUAUAUAUAUAUAUAUAUAUAUAAUAUUAUUAAAAAAAAUUAUAAAAUAGAAACUAAAUUUUUAUAGACCAAAAUAAUUAAUUAUAAUAAAUAAAUUAAAUAGUAACUAAAUUAAAGAUCACUUUAAAAUUAAUUUCAAAAUUAAUUUUUAUUAUUAUUAAAUAGUUUCUAAAUUGGUAUCUAAUUAUCAACUAAUGUUUUAAUUACCAAUUAUUUAGUUUCUAAAUUUGGUUUUUAAAAUCUUGUUAUUAAUUAAAUAUCAAUUUAAAAACUAUAUAAUAAUAAUAAAAAUUAAUUUAGAAACUAAAAUUUCUUUUAUUUUUUAAAAUAUCUAUAAUUUAGUUACUAUUGCAACUAAUUAUUUUGAUCUUUAAAAAUUGAUUUUUAUUUCAUGAUUUUCUUGUAGUACAUUGAUUAAUGCUUAAAAUAAAUUUAUUAAGUAAUAGAUUUAAGACGAGGUUGAUAUUUACUUACAUAUUAUAUAUUAUCAAAUAUUAUACUUUGAUCUAAAAUUUUCAGCACGUUUUCUUAGGUUGAAAUUUUCUAAUUCGUGGUAUUGUAAUUUUCUAAUUCGUGAUAUUAUAUAUAUAUAUAUAUAUAUUUUAUUUGAUAAUAAUAUAAUAACCGAGGAUAUGCUAAACUCAAUCAAUUUUGUUAAGAUAAACUUAACUCUGAUUUUAUAUUAAAUAAUAAAUUUUAAAUAUAAUUUAAUCUUAUAAACUGAAUUAUGAAUUAUAAAGUUAGGUUUAUAAUUAUUUGUAUAUUAUAAAAAUCUUCAUAAUAUUUUCAAUUUUUGUUAAAAUGUAUAUUCUUUUUAUUUUAUUUCUUGACAUUAUAAAUUAUACGAAAAAAAAAUGGUAUUCUAUGCUCCAUUCCCGAAAGCACCAUUUCACGUGCCAUUGUCAUGCAUUUCUACCUAUAAUAGCUUACUGGAGUAGGCCAAGACUCACGAGUUAUCCAAAGUAAUCUUUGUUUUCUAUUUUCCCUCUUUUUCGGGAACUUAAAUUAAAAUGUUUUUUUGAUUAAAUAUAAUUAAAGUUAAUUUAAACUUAUUAUAAUAUAAUAUUAUAAGAAAGGAUGUGGAUAAACACAGUCAUUAAGAAAAUGUAUUACUUUACAUAAUUGUGUAUAAAUUAUUAUAAUAUGAUCAAUUAUAUUAUUUUACAUGCUCAAUUAAAUGUUUUCAGAGAAUUAUAUUUGAAGUUGGAAAUAUUUUUGUAUGAAUUUCAAACUCUUUUUUCUUAAUCUGUAAAGCUGGGAUGAAUUAUUGAAUGAAAACUCCUCAACAGAUAAUUCAGAAGUGACUCAAAAUUCAGAAAACAGAAAGAGAAAAUCAAAUUAAAUUUAAUGAAUAGUUUUAUUUCCAAGGCAGCAUAGGGUAUCCUAAUUUCACUAAUAUUAAUUUGAAAAUUUACAGUAUUCGGGAUUUUAUUUUGUAAUGUCUUCUGUAAAUUGUUAAAUAUUAUUGUUGAGAUCUACCUACCUAUCUACCUAGCCAACUUCAUAAAAUAUUUAAUCACCUUUAAAAUUUAUGUUUUAUUAUCUUUAUCCAUGAAUUAAAUUUAAUGAUUUUAAAAAAUAAGUUUAUGUUACAAUUAAAAUUAUUUUACUGGUAUACAAGUAUAUUUUACAUAUUCAGAAAUAUUUAUUUGUUAUAAAUUUUAAUAACUGUAAUUUUGAUUUUCAAAUAUAAAUUAUAAUUGUAAAAUAUUUUAUAUAAUAAUUUUUUUUAUUAUAAUUUCUACUUAUACAAAACGUAAAUAUUUAUUCGAAUAAUACUCGUGAAAUUGCAUGUGCAUUUGUUGAAUCUGAAGAUGGGCUAGUAUAAUUAAUUUUUAUAGACAAAAAACUGUGAUUGUAUCUUUUCAAUAAUUUGUAAAUCAGUUUCUUUUCUAUGCAUAUACUGAUGAGACUUAAAUAAAGAUUUUGUGUAUUAGUUAAACAUAAACAAAUUUCAACCAUAUUGAUUCCUACUUAAAACACCAUUUCCAAUAAUAAUACAUACAAAUCCAUCCACAGAAAAUACAAAACGAUUUAUCAGAGCUAAAAUAUAAUGUAUGAUAUAUCAUAAUCUUUAUUAGCAUGUGCUUGCUACUAUAAUUAAUUAAAGUUUUAGACAAAAAUUACCUUUGAAGAUAACUUGAUACACCUAAAGAGUUCCAACAUAAUGCAAAGCUAAAGAAAUAUAGGAAAUGAGCGUGGGUGGUUCAGUGUGAAUUGGAUAGGAGAUAAGACUCUAUUAAAUAGACUUCCUGAAAGUCUAAAUUCACCCAAUCAAUCAAAAUAAGUUUGAAUUCAAACUUCAUUGCCAAAAUGAAUCUCUGUGACAUUUUGAUUAUUGUACCCAAAGUGAAAAUUGUAGCCAUGUGAACAUAAAGUUCUGAGUAAAGUGUACGCUUGACAUGUAUUUUGAGGAAGAAAACAUUGUUUGUGAGAAAAUCAAGUUGUUGCUGCACGACUUUGCAAUUGAAGUUGCCAAUAAUGAGAAAUUUUUUCAUUUUGUGCUUAUGCAAAGUUGUUAUUAACAGUGAAGGAAACUUUGAAAAGGAAGACUGAAAAAUAUUAUGACCAAUGCAAGAGUGAGAGAAGCAAAGGCCACUAAAGACCCUAAUUUCCUUAAAGUUGGUAUUGGUUAUAUGGUCAUGUUGAGAAACCCAAACUAGCCCCUUUUAUAUACCAUUUAGCUCUAAGCAUCUUCCUAACUUUAUUUGUUUCCUUCACAAUACUACACGCAUGCACCAAUGGUUUUAGGAGCAAGUGUCCCAAAGCGUUUUUGGAACGGUUGUGACUCUAAUUGCUUUUGGAACGUUGAAUUUGGAUUUCACAGGCUGCGUCCUAAUUAAGACAAAGCACGUUUAUUUUUCUUUACAUCCCAAAACAUAGCAUAAUAUAUAUUUAAUUAUCUUUGAUUAUAAGUUUCUAGCAUUCACAAAUUUCAUUCCCCAAAUUAUUUGUUUGUUGUUGUGUGUGGUUUAUAGGGAACUAAAACACUAGUUUAUAGGGAACUAAAUCUCUGAAACUAUAUUUGAUAGUUAUGAGAAACUAGUAUAUGGUAUUCACAUUUUCUCUGUUGUUGAUUGCACUGCCAUUGUAUUAUACAUGUAUCAAGAAAACGUAGUGACUUUGUAAUUCUGUUUCGUAGUUUUUACAUAAAAAAUUACUAGAUUUUGUAAGAUAUGAAGCAAGUGUGGGGAUUAUUUGUUCCUAGGGAAAGUUUUAAAGUGAACUUGUAAGUGUCUUCAAAUCUGUUUUGCACAAUAAAUAAGUGCGACGUAUUAGAUUUCAAACAUUGCAAAAUAAAUGUUACAUGUUUACAUAGGUUUUUUAUUGGUAAGUAAUUCAAUUUUUUUUAGAGGUGGUUGUGAUUUUAUUAUAAUUUUAAAGUCAAAUAAGUGAGUCGACGGAUAUUGGAUAUCAAACAUGGAAUAAAUUUUGCAGUUUUUUAGGCCUGUGAUAAGAAAAUACAUACAUUACAACAUUAUUUUUAAUUAAAAUAUGUUUAGGAAAAUGAAAUGUCUCAAUCUGUGUAGAGAUUAAACUCUAUAUAAUGCUCUGAUACGAAAUAUGAUAUCAUCGGAAGUGUAAUUAUUUGGCAUAUAUAUUAUACUUUAACAGCCGAAAACAAUCAUUUACCAAUUAAUUAUAUUAAUAAUUUAAUUAUAUAUUUCAUUUUUAAAAUUAAAUUAUUAAAAUAAAAUUGUGAAAUAUAUCUUAAAAUAUAAUUUUUCACAUAUAUAUUCGAUGUAACGAAACUGACUUUUAACUAAUCCGAGAAAUCGGGUAAGAACUUUUCGAAGAACUGAAGUGCCUCUCCAUUCUGAUAUUGACAAAAGGAAUUUAAAACAUUCAAAUCAAUACAAAUUAAAUGUACCUAUAAGACUGAAUUUCAUUUCAAUGAAUUUUAUGAGGAAAAAGAUAAAUAAAAAAUAAAAUAAUUCUUUAUAAAAUUAGUUUAUGUAUAAUUUAAUUUAUAAAAAUUAAAAAAUAAUUUUAAUUUGUGUAUAUAUAUUAAUUUUUAUUUAUAAAGAAAUUUGUUUUAUUUUAUUUUUCAUACUUUUUCUUAUAAAAGUCCUUUUAGAAAGACUAGUCUAAAUAUAUCCCAAAAAAUAUAUUAUUGUACUACGACAUCAGUACACUGACAUCAUGCAUAUGACAUGACUGAAAAACUUUACUUUGAUUUUAAUUUUUCACAUUUUUAUUCAUCUUCUCAAGUUUCUUCAAUUAAGUAAUAAUAAUUUAGUAAAAUAUUUUUUUAAAUGAUAAAUUGUUUAUUAUUUAAUUAUCUUAGUAUUUUUUUUAAUUAUUGUUAUUUAACUGAAUAAAUGGAGAAAAAUGGCGCGAAAUUUCACUAUUAAUAAAAAUUAAAUUUAGAGAUAAAUAAUUUUCUUUAUGAUAAUAAAAGUAAAAUAUAUAAUAAAAAUUGAUAUUAUAAUAAUUAUCAAAAUAAUUAUUAUUAUAAAAUAAAUAUUUUUAAGGCAUAAUUAAUUACCCUUUUUCUUGCAACAUUUUCUAACUUUAUUCAAUUUAAUCUCUAUAUUUAAAAAAUAAAUAAAAAAUGAUACCAAUCUUGUUUAGAAAGUUCAAUAUGAUUUCAACUUCUUUUACUAUUCAAUCUGAUUCCAAUGUUUUUAAGAGUUUAGGGUGGUCCCGUUUUUUUAAAAAUAACUCAAUAGGAUGAUUCAAACCUUUUUUUUUUUUAAAUCGCUAAGAUAUUAAAAUGAAGACAUUUAGCAUGAAGGAUCACAUUAAAUCGUUUCUAAACAAGAUUGAGAACAUUUUGAAUUUUUUAAACAUACGGAGAUUAAAUUAAAUAAAGUCAUAAAAUGUUGAAAAAAAAGUAAUUAUGCCUAUUUUUAAUUAAUUUUUAUAAUAUUAUAUACUACAAGAAAAUAUUUAAAUAAAAACUAAUUUUAGAGAAAAAAAAUUAGUUAUUAUAUUAAGUAAGUUAUAUACUAUUUUAUAAACUAAACAAUUUUUUAUAUAUAAAGUAGUUUUUAUUAUUAAUAAAAUUUACAAACUAGUUGUUAAAUUAUUAUCUAUCAAGGUUUUAGCUAUUAAUUAUGUUAGAUUAUAAAUUAAUUAGAUUAAUAAUAAGUAUAAUUGUAAACAGUUAUGUGUAAAAAGAAACUUUUAUUUUGAAAGAAUAAACCUUAUUAAAACCUUAUAAAAAAAAUCCUAUUGAGUUGAAGAACAUUAGGGAUAAAAUAUUGAGUUAAGGAAAAUUAGUACUUUAUCUUAUAUUCAACGCAAAUCAUAAUGUAUACACCAUAAAUCAAUCAAAAAGGUGUUUCUACCAUAGAUGUUUGGGGAAUACACUGAUAUCCCACAAUAUGUUGGGUAUAUUUUUGGCCCAAAGAUCUUUGGGUUCCCCAAGAUUCUUUUUGAGUUAUGGGUUUUGCGUGUAGGAGUAUGGUAAGUUUGUGACAUAUGAAGUUAGGAUCAAUCUCUAGCGUUUCCACUAGACUCCAUGUGAAGAGGUCAGAGUUACUGAAUAGUACCUUUUCUAUAAGGAUCUAAAAAUUUACUUUAGAGUAAAAGUGGUAUAUUUUAAAUGAUACUUGAAUAUUUUAUUAUUAAAAUGAAAAGAACAUAUAAAUAGAAAAAUCAUUUAUUCAGAUUUCAUUUCAAAAGAACCACCAUCUCUCUAGAAGUUUCUUUUUUCCUUUCCUCACCCUACUCUCUAAGAUUAUGACCUCCUCGCUCAUCAAUUUGACGAUCGGAGUCUGCUAUUAAACUCUUGGCAGCGAAGACUACAAGACUGCCCAAUCAAAAUCUCUUAUAGAGUAAGUUCAAUUUUACUCUUCUCUUUGAGUCAAAUUUUGAACUUGUAGGUCUGUCUCAAUUUAAGUUUACACAUUUGACUCUUUUAGCUUUAAGAUUAGUCUUUGUUAUCUCAGAGUCCUAGUCAUAUAGUUAAAAAUUUUAUCAGGACUUUGUGGUGCAUGUUAAGCUACUAUUGAAGCUUUUGGUAGGUUUGAAGCUCUUAGGCUUUGUUUGGAUCCAGGGGUGCCACUGUUGGCGACGACGAAAGUCACAACAACACCCCGUUUGGAUCCAUGCAUUGUUGCGGGUGAGGGUGCAGCGAAAGAGAAAGUUGAGUGAAUUGUGUUUCUUCUGAAAGAUGAAGAGAAAGUUUCACUGUGCAGUGCAAGUGCCAAGUCAUCACCACGAAAUUCCAAUGAUGCCCUUACUUUUGUGUUGGAAUCAAGAAGCACAGUGGCUGUGCAUGCAUGCCAGAUGAAAGCAUGAAAUUCCUGACUUGGCUCAGGAAUCUAUUGACCAUGUGAAAGUUUGAAACCUCAUCAAUGAAAUGGGUGAGAGGUAGGUGCGUGAGAUUUUUGGUUUCUUUAUAAACGUUGCUUCCUCCAUUCAUAGUCACAGAUAAGCGAAGCAUAAGCAAAGAGAGAGCGAAGCAUAAAGUGUGUAGUUGGAGAGAUUUGUAAGUCAUAGUGUGUGUUAGGGGCUUCAUUAACGUAGAGGUUAUUCAUCUGAAAGUGAUGUGUUCAUCUCUGGGUUCAUCUGUGCCUUCAUGUGGUUCAUCUCUGGGUUCAUCUGAGGUGAGUUUAUAUGUUUGAUUGUUGGUUAAUCGAUUAUGGUUUAAAUAUCACAGGCAAAAUAAUCGAUUAUAGUGUAAUCUGCAAAAUUUCCCAGGCAUAAUCGAUUAUCUGUAGUGUGUAAAAUUGCUCUUAAUCGAUUAUUUGUUGUGAUAAUCGAUUAUUGUUGUUUUUAGCCUAGUAGCAUAAUCGAUUAUGCUUUGAUAAUCGUCUUAACUGUGUAAAAGGGUUCCUAAUCGAUUAUGUGUUGUGAUAAUCGAUUAUGGUUGUUUUUUUGCCUACUAACAUAAUCAAUUAUGCGUUCAUAAUCGAUUAUCCUGUGUGUGUAAGUGAUGCCAUAAUCGAUUAUGUUCUAAAUUUUUUGAAAUAUAAAUGUUUGUUAAUUUAUUUGUUUUCUGUUAUUUUUAGGUGUGUUGAUCUUCCUAUAAGCCAUCCUAUUGCUGUUCUUGAGUGCUUAUCUUCAGGUUUUAAAUUUUUUUUAUGUAAAAUUAUUUUAUUUAAUUUCUGUUUUAUAUUUAUGAUUAUGGUUUUGUAAUAUAAUUUGUUUAGAAUUUAUUUUAGUUUAUUAUGUUAAGGCUGUUGUUGUAAUAUAAUUUUUUUAGAGUUUAGUUUAGUUAAUUAUGUUAAGUAGUUACUAGAUAGUUAAUUAAAUAUGUUAAGGAGUUUAGUUUAUUAAAUUAAUUGUUUCAGUUGAUUUAUUAUUUUAAUUUUUGUAGAUAGUUAUUAAUUUAUUAAGAAAAAUAUUUAUUUCUAUGAAAUGAAUUAUUUACAGAAUGGAAACAGAAAUUUGUAAAUUUUAGGUUUUUUAUUAUAUUAAACAUAAAUUAUUAAUGUUAUAAUUAAAUCAAAUAAAAAAAGUUGUUGUGAUUAAAGAAAACUGAAAAAUUUAAGAUAAAUAUUGUUUAUAAGAGAAUAUAUAUUGUAUAAUAAUAAAUAUACAAAGUUAAUAAAUAUUGUAUAAGAAAACUGAAAUAUUGUAUAAUAAUAAAUAUAUAAAGUUAAUUUUUUUUUAACAUUUAAUAGAAAUGUUUAUAAGAGAAUAGAUAAUUUUUUUAAAUGAAUAUUUGUAUUCUGUAUGGUUAAUAUUUUUUUAAAUUGGACAUAAAUUAUUAAUGUUAUUAGUUGAAAAGAUUAAAAAAAAUGUUUUUGUAAUUUUUGUUAUAAGAUUUAAUUGUUAUAAGAAAAAAAUGAAUGUAUUUAAAAUGAAUAUUUUUAAAAAUUUGUAAUUUGUAGGUUUUUUAAAAAGUAAUUGAUAUUUUAGAAGUAUUAUUUUUAAUUGAUAUUUUAGUUAUAAAUGUAGAAAGUAAUUAUUUAUUUCAAAAUGAAUUGUUUAUGAAAUAGAUUUUAAAAAAUUUAUUUUGACAUAAUGGAAUUCAAAAUUUUAAAAAUAUUUGAUAGGGUUUUCAUUUUUGUAGAUUAAACAUAAUUUAUUAAUGAUAUAAUAAAAAACAUUAUAAAAAUGUUGUAUUAAUUAAAAAAAUAGUAAAAGUUUAAAGUAGAAAUAUCAUUUUGAGUUAUUUUGAGUUAUUCAGGUGGUGAAAGUCAAAGGAGGUUCAUAUGAAUGAGUAAGUUGCUUGAAAGAUAACUAAUUUGACUUGCUAUAUGAAUUAACCCUGUCAUACUAGGGAGAGAUUGUAUUGAGAUUAUUUAUGCGCAUAAAUGUGUGGAUUUCACAGUAAUAUAGUAUGACAGGUGCAAAUCUUUGAGUCUAAGUUAACGCACGAGUCUUCCGGAAAUAUAGUCAAAUGUCUAUGUGUUGUGAGUCAGUAGAAGUCUGACAUGUGAAAGAUAAAUUAUGAAUUUUAAUAGACACUUGAUGAUUUGAGAAAUUUUAUGAGACUUGAUGAAUUAUGUUUAUUAAUGUGAAAUUGAAAUUAUAUAGAAAUUUUUAUAUAACUAGCUUACCAUGUUCUUUGUUUGUGUUUGUUUCUUUAUCUGUGAUGAUCGUGUUUUACACGAGAAUGAGAUUGCAGGUAAUAGAGCUCCUUAGUGAGCACCUGAAGGAUGAAAUUACUUUAAUUUGAAUGUUUUGUUUUGUUUUUAAAACUUUUGGUGUAUAUAUUAAAAUUAUACAAUUAUGAGAUAGUUGUAUAUACUCAUAUGUUAAUUAGAUAUUGUUUGUUUUACUUCUGUUUUAUUAAAUAUGGGUAAAAAUUAGGAAUGUUACAUCUUCAAUCCGCUUUCGAAGAUAUCAACUAACUGAUUUACCAAUCUCCAGGUUGACUUUUGAGUUGCACUUAUACUAGGGGUUCAUCAAAAGAUGGUCGAUUCUCCACAAACUCGGCCCUAGGAUCUAGAAAACCUCAUUCUCAUCGUCUUAUGGGAACUCAAUGUGAAACGCCUGCUCGAUAAAGUUGUUGGUAUCCCCAUGGCCUUGGUCAUUUACUUCCCUGUGCUCCUUCGGGUAGGCUAUGGCCUCGCCAAUUGUUGUUGUGGUCAAGGUCUUUACAAAAUAAGAGAUGACCUUGAUGUUCUCAACAUAACACUCCCUUAUCAUCUUCAGAUUUGCCUUCACUAUGAUUAUUUUACCAUUGUCACUGAAAACUUCAUGGUCAUGUGUAGUCGACACUAUGGCGUCCAAUUGAUUAAUACUUUUGCAUUUGAUGAUGUCAUUGCAGGAUGUGGUACCACAAUGAGAGAUAAAUGGAACUCUUAUUCUGGUCAGGGGAAUAGUAUUUUUGUUUCAAAGGUAAGCUGAAGAGUAUGAAAGUUGAUAUCAAGGUGUGGAAUUGGGAUGUGUUCGGGCACCUGGAAUCUGAGAAGAAGAAUUGUUUGAUGGAUAUUGAGGAGCUUGAUGUCAAAGAUGAGGGUGAUGCUUUGCCAGAGAGUUUAAGGACGAGAAGGUUGGUUCUCAUCAAUCAUGUAGAAGAGAUCAAUAAGAAGUUGGAAUCUAUGUUUAGGCAGAAAGCUAGAGCUAAUUGGCUUACGUUUGGGGACUCUAAUUCCAAGUUUAAUCAUUAUGUAAUUAGAUGGAAGAGACUUAGAAAUGAGGUUAAGGGUGUCGAAGUGGGAAGUUUUUGGGUUGAGGAAUCUAAGGUAGCGCGCAGGGAAGUGGUGAAGCUUUUUGAAGCUAAAUUCUCGGCUACUCAGGAUUUUGGAGUCAGACUUGAGCAUGUUGAGUUCAAAUCCUUAUUAGAGGAGGUUAGCUUAAGUCUGGUGUCCAAGAUCACAGAGGAAGAAGUAAAGGAUGUUGUCUGGUUGUAUGAGGGGUCAAAAAGUCCUGAACCAGAUGACUUUAAUUUUAAUUUUAUCAAGAACAGUUGGGAAGUGCUGAAGCUUGAUGUGGUAGCUGUUGUUCACCCUUUUCAGGAAACAAGUUGUAUUUCUAAAGAGUGUAAUGCGUCUUUUAUUAUCCUUGUCCCCAAAGUUAGGGACCCUAUAAGUCUGGACCAAUACAAACCUAUUUCUCUUGUAGGUUCACUGUAUAAAAUUAUUUCGAAGGUCUUAUCAUGUCGCAUAAAACAAGUUUUACCCGAGGUUAUAGAUGACUGUCAAUCAACUUUCUUAAAGUAAAGAGAAUGUUAAAUAACGUUCUAGUUCUAGUGGCUAAUAAGGUUAUUGAUGAGAUGAGGAGAAAAAAAAAAAAUGUUUUGUCAAUUAUGAAAAGGCAUACAAUUCUGUCAGCUGAGUGUUUCUCUUUCAUAUCCUUUAAAAGUUAGAAUUUCACAAUAAAUGAAUGUUUCUGUUUGAUAUGCUUUGGAAGUUGUGAUUUCACAAUAGAUGGAUUGCGUGGAUCAGAGUCUUUUAAUAGAAAACAAGUAUUUUAAUAAUUUAUACAUAUGAAAGUACAGUGACCGUAUAAAAGUUGUUGUACUGUAACAAAUCAAUAUACAUUAUAAGUUCAUUAUUUUAUAUAAUAACUAUAUAGAUCGUCAAAGUUAAACUAAAGUGACUAUAAAUUAAACUAAAAAAUAAUUAAUUUCCAAAUAUUAUCAUGUAGAAAAUAAGUUGGAGUAAAAAAUAUUAUAAAAAAUAGCUUAACAAUGUGGAAAAAAGGAAAAGAAAAAAAAAACCAUGGAGGAAGAUAACUUUAACUAUGGACACACUCUGAAAGUGAGAUUCGUCAAACAUAUUUUAAGAGUUAUAGAUGAUAGUGAUGAUGAAUAGUGGAGAUAAGUUUCACUAUACUUGUUUUUACCUUUUAAGUAAAAAUUAACAUUCCUGAAAAAAAUAACAUUAUUCAUUUCCAUUUUGAUGGGGAUAAAAUUAGUCUCAUAUUAAUGUAAAAAGAAUACACUGUCUUCUUAGCACCAAUUAAAAAUAAAAAGUUAUAAUAAAAUAAAAUUCAAAAUAAAGUAUUAAAGAAAAUAUUGUUAAUAAUUUAAAACAAAUAUAAGAAUUCGUUAAAUUUCAUAUCUAAUUUAAAUAAUUAAAUUAAACAUUGUUCAUAUAAAGACAAAUUCGAAUAAUAGUAAGACAUAAAAUAUUUUUUCAUCGAGGUGAUUUCACCGAUUACAUGGAACGAUUGAUUGUGUUUUUUUUUCAGAAAAAAAGAAAAAAUAUCUCAUUUGCUUAAAGACAAAAGAAUAUUAACUAUAUUUCUAAAAAUAAAGAAUAAACUUAACAACGAGAACAACUAAUUAAUUAAAUACAUACGUUUGUAUAUAUACUAGUAGCCUAUACCAUGUUUAAUUAUGAGUAUAUGCGAUUAUUCUUAAAUUAUUAUGUCACUUUUGUUUUUCAUAUCUAUGUCCUUCUUAUUUGAAGGCUAAGCCUAGUCACGCAUCAACUUGAACAUCAACUUGGAUUCCUACGGUCCUAUGAAUGCAUAUAACUUGCCCUCAAUCCCACAAUUACAUAAAUUAAAUAAAAUAUUAAAACAAAUAAUUUAAAAACAACUUAAGUGGUUUAAAGUCAGAUUCACUUUUGUAUGAUUUCUUUAAAAAAAAUUACCAUUUUAUUUUAAUUUAUAUGUUACUGUUUAUUAUAAAAAAAAUUAAUUUUAAAAAUUAAAAAAUAAUUAAUUUUUAUAUUGAUUAAAUUAGAUAUUAUUCUUUUAAAUAAUAUUUUAAUUUUUUUUAUUAAUAUCUAAAUUAUUUUUUAUUAUUUUAAAUUGAUAUUUAAUUAAUUAUAAUAUUUUAAUUACCAAUUUUAAAAUUUAAAUACUUAAUAAUUAAAAACUUAACAGCUAAUUAGAUAUUAAUUUAAAAAUUAUUUAUUAAUAACAAAAAAUAAUUUAGAUAUUAAUAAAUUUUUAAUUUUUAAAAUAGUAUUUAAUUUAAUUAAGAUAAAAAUAAAUUAUUUGUUAUUUUUAAAAUUAAUUUUUAUUUAAAUAUUUUCUAACAGUGGGUGAAGCAUAAUUUCAGAUGAAAGAGAUUUUAGGUGUUCUUUAAAUGGAUUUACUUAUAAUAUUGGUUUACAUUAAUUCAAUAUUGCAAUGGUUAUACAAACAUUUUUAACAAGUAUUGUAUUGAUAAUAUUAAAACGUAUUUUAUUUAAUAAGUUUGAUAAAACUUAAUAAAUAAUCAACUUAGGCCUUCCAUGUUAUAGUUUGAAGAAUUAAAAUUGAUUUUUGGUAAAGAAAGUUGGAAAAUGGUGAAGAUUUGUUCCCCCUUCUCGAAAACAAGUUUAAUAUUAAGUGAAAGUGACAUAUGAGAUCCUGAUGGAUCUAAAGUGGAAAACCAGUUUAUGAGAGAUUGGUGUUUUCGAAAGCACCUCAGAAAAAAACAUGUCGGUUGAUUUUAUAAAGGUUCUCGAAUUAAGCAUGUCGGUAAUGACAUUUAAAAUAAACAUGUUUUAUUGAAUCAAAUCUGCAAUUGGUGAUUUGUGUCUGAGACAAUAGGCACCCUUUCAUCAUCAGGAGCAGUUAUCGAUAUUCUUCACAUAAAAUAGUGGAGUUGGUGGUCACUAAUCAAAUGCAACCUCUUUCUUUUUUUUGUUUUGACAGCUCCCAUAAUGAAUUUUUUUUGAAGAAUUUGCGACCUCUUUCACACUGAUUACAUUCAUUUAUAUUUAAAUAAAUUAUUAUUUUAUUAUAAUAUAAUAUUUUAUUUAAAAAAACUUAAUACAUUUUAUUAUAAUACAAUAUUUUAUUCCAAAAAAAUAUUAUAGAAUAAUUACUUUUACUAUUUUGUCUGAAACAAAUUUUAAUCAUUUUAAAUCGAUGGCCGUCCUCCUGGAGCACUAGACCCCAGAUCUGUGAGCUACCGAUGUUGACGAAAGUAUAAAGAAAUAUUUGGAAGUGAGAAUUGCAUUAAUUUAGGAAAACUAAAUGAUUCUUUCUACAAAAUUAUUCUCACUCCUUAAAACCUUGAAUCGUGAUGUCCCAAAUAGGGCACAAAUCAAGCCACCCAUCUUAAAACCCUCAAUAUUGUCUUUACAUCUUUAUUUAUGAGAAAAUAUAACUUAAUAAAUAAUAUUUAUGUUGAAGAUUUUUAUUAUUAAUAAAAAUAUUUUAUAAUAUAUAAAUCAAUAUACACUUUAUAAGAUAAUAAGAUUUGAUAAGAUUGAAUUAAAUUUAAAGUUUAUUUUUUUAAUAUGGUAUUAAUAUAGUUUAUUUUAAUAAAAAUUUAUUAGAUGAUUAAAUUAUCUAUUAUUAGAUUCUUAUGGAAUGAUUCAUUAUAUAGUAUUAAACACAACCUAACAAUCUCGAUGAUAGAUGUUAUGUUAAAAAUUAUGUAUUAAUUAGAAAUAAUAAUAUUUUAUAAUAGGUAAGUUGAUGUAAAUUUUAUUUCAUAAAUUAAUUUUAUUAAAUAGAGUUAUGUUAAAUAUAUUUAUUAAUAUUUCAAACAAAAUUGAGUUAAUUACAAUAAAAAUUAUAUUACUAAGAAUAGUCACAUAUGCUUAGAUAAAAAAUGUUAUCAAUUCAAGUGAGUAUCUGGUCUUCUCCAAAAAAAACUCAACAAAAAUGUCACAUCUUUAGAACUCUAUUUAUGGAUAAAUAAAUAAUUAUCUUAUCUUAAUGUAAUAUAAUUUGUUGGGUAUAUCUUCUUCCAUUUUUCCUACAUAUAAUAUUGACAUAAAUUUAAAACUAGUAUUUUUAUUUAUAUAUAAUAAAAUUUAUAAAUUUAUGUUAUAUACUAAUUUAAUAAAAUUAAUUAAUUUGUAAAUAAUUAUAAAAAUUUGGUGUAUUAUAUUUGUUAUAGAUAUUACAUUAUAAUUUUAUUAUAAACUUAUAAUGUAAUAUCUAUAACAAAUAUAACACAACAAAUUUAUAUAAUUAUUUAAAAAUUGUGGACACUUAUUUCCGCUAGUAUUUAUAAUUAUUCUGACAUAAAAUUUUAACUAUAUUUUUUAGGAUAUUAAAUAAUUAUUAUUCAAAUAUUUUUAAGAUAUUAAUUAUAUUUUGAAAACAUUAUAUCAUUUUUGUAAUAUAGAAAUGGUUAUAUAAAUAUAUUAUAAUUUUGUAUAAUUUAAUUAAUAAUUUUUAUAACUUAUUAAAAAAUAAAUUAAAUUUUUUUCUAUAAAAUUAUAUGCAAUUUUUUUCUAUUUCAAUAUAAUUUAUCUUAUAUCUUAACAUUAUUUAGUUUGUUACCAUAUUUUUAUCUUAUUAUAUUUUCAUCAUGCCAUAUUUUUAUUUUAUUGUAUCAUAUUCUUCUAUUUUAUUAUAUUGUGUUUACUAAACGAAUGUUUAAAAUUUAAAACAGUUAUAAUUUAUAUACAUUAUUUUCUCUAAACUCAUUAAGACGUUUUUGAAAACAAAGAAUUUAACAAAAGUUGAUAUUACACAUGAAAUAAUUCUCAAUCAAAUUUGCUAACGUAAUCAAUUUCUUUUGUAACAUCCUAAUUUUUACCCAUAUAUAAUGAAAUAAAAGUAAAACAAGCAAUAUCUAAUUACGAAUAAUAUAUAUACUACUUUCUCAUAUGUGUAUCUCAAAAGAAAUAUCCCUCCUCAUAGGGAUUUAAUAUAUACAUCAAAAGUUUUAACAACAAAACAAAGCAUUCAAAUAAAACUAUCUCAUUCUCCAGCUGCUCACUAAGGAGCUCUAUUAUCUGCAAUCUCAUCUGCUCCCGUGUAAAACACGAUCAUCACAGAUAAAGAAACAAACACAAACAAAUAACAGGGUAAGCUAUCUAUAUAAAAAGUUUUGAUAUAAUUCAAAUUUUAAAUUAAUAAGCAUAAUUCAUCAAUUCUCAUACGAUUUCUCAAACCAUCAAGUGGCUAUUACAUUCAUAAAAUUCAUAUUUCAUAUAUCAGACUUCUAUUGACUCAUAACACAUAGACUCUUGACUCUACUUCCGGAAGACUCGUGCGUUGACUUAGACUCAGAGAUCUGUACCUGUCAUACUAGCUCACUGUGAAAUCCACACAGUUAUGCGCAUAAAGAAUCUCAAUAUCAUAUCUCUCCUAGUAUGAUAACUUCAUCUAUAUGAUUUCAUUAUCUCAGGAGAGUCAGGAUAUCUCCUUCUAGACGAAUCCCUAGUCAAUGCACAUCCUAAACAAUCUUAACACGAUAUUUUCUUUCCUGAAAAUACUAUGUUUUGAUUUAAAAAUAUAUUCUAAACAUUAAAAUCUCCCACAUCAAACAAUCAAAUCAUUCCACAAUUUAGAAUUUCCAAAACACCCAACAAUUCAUUUCAACUAGAAUGAAAAUAAAAGGAGAAUGAAAUAAAAUUAUCUUCCAACUACAACUAUAUCCAACAGUAUAGUAUUUAAUAAAAAGGAUGAGGAAGCCACAACAUGANNNNNNNNNNNNNNNNNNNNNNNNNNNNNNNNNNNNNNNNNNNNNNNNNNNNNNNNNNNNNNNNNNNNNNNNNNNNNNNNNNNNNNNNNNNNNNNNNNNNNNNNNNAAUUUUAGUUCAUAAACUGAAUCAUCAAGAAAUAUUCAAAAUAUAUAUGCUCUGAAAUUGUCAAGAAACAAAUAAUCACAAACCUUUUUCAAAUACAUUCAUCAAUUCCAAACUUAUAUACAUUCUACAUCAUCUACUAUAUCUAAAUUUUAGAUUUCAAUCUCAAAACAGUUUCAAUCUCAAACAUCAAUCUCAAACAUCAAUCUCAAACAUCAAUCUCAAACAGUUUCUAUCUCAAACAGUUUCUAUCUCAAACAGUUUCUAUCUCAAACAGUUUCUAUCUCAAACAGUUUCUAUCUCAAACAGUUUCUAUCUCAAACAGUUUCUAUCUCAAACAGUUUCUAUCUCAAACAGUUUCUAUCUCAAACAGUUUCUAUCUCAAACAGUUUCUAUCUCAAACAGUUUCUAUCUCAAACAGUUUCUAUCUCAAACAGUUUCUAUCUCAAACAGUUUCUAUCUCAAACAGUUUCUAUCUCAAACAGUUUCUAUCUCAAACAGUUUCUAUCUCAGUUUCUAUCUCAAACAGUUUCUAUCUCAAACCGUUUAAACAAAUUAUUCACCUUAAAAUCAAUAUAAAAAAUUCACAAUCAACCAUUUGAAGAGACAAUCCUGAAAGCAAAAACAAUUGAAAUUGGUGACCACGUCACCUCCAAAUCCAGAAUCUUCUAACCUAUGGUUUCAUUGAAAAUAAUAAGACUAGCUUCCCUUACCUGAACUUUAGCUGAUGCUCACUAAGAGCUCCAAAUCUACCAAAUGCACCGUCCUACUCAAAAGUUGAGUUAGAUAUUAACCCGUACAAAAUCUAAGAUUAACCCGUACAAAAUCUAAUAAGAUCAAAAUUAACUCAAAAGAAAAAGGGGUCAAGAAGGAACUUAAAGAAAAUAUUUUGAUGGAUUCAAAACCAGGAGUCCAACGGCAGACUCUGAUCGCCAAACUAGGAAGUUAGAAUCUUAUAGAAAAGGGAGAAAAGGAAAAAGAGGAACAAAACUGAACUUACUCUGAUCAUCAAACUGAUGAGCGAGGAGAGUUAGAGAGAAGGGAGAGUAAGGAAAAACGAAACUUUUAGAGAGAUGGUGGUUAUUUUAAAAUGAAACAUGAAUAACUGAAUUUUCUAUUUAUAUAUCAUUUUCAUUUUAAUAAUAAAAUAUUCAGUAUCAUUUAAAAUAUACAACUUCUACUCUAAGAUUAUCAUCUAAAAUAUUUAUAUAUCUUUUAACGCUUGCGUUGUUUUAAAGUUAACAAUACACCGCUCACCCUUAAUUUUGUUUAAUUUUGAAAGCUUUGAAAUAAAAAGCUAAUUCUCAACCCUGUCACUCCUUUCUUAAAGGAGCCCUUUCUUUUUUAUUCAACGCUCGAAACUAUUGUUUACAAGAAUAAUAAUAAUAAUAAAAAAACAAUUUCUCCUUUAGUAGUUUUGAAUGGGCCAAACUAUACUCUUUUCAAGAUCUCUCCUGGGCUUUUUCUUUCUGAAACUCCUAAUUUCAAUUUACACCUCCAUAAAUUUAUACUACAAGAAAAUCAUAAAAUAGAAACCAAUUUUUAGAUAUCAAAAUAAUUAGUUGUAAUAGUAACUAAAUUAGAGACCAGUUUAGAAACUAAAAAAAAAUUGAUUUCUAAAUUAGUUUCUAUUAUUGUUAAAUAAUUUUUAAAUUGGUAUCUAAUUAACUACUAAGGUUUUAACUACCAAUUAUUUAGUUUCUAAAUUUGGUUACAAAAAUCUUGGUUGCUAAUUAGAUAUCAAUUUAGAAACCAUUUAACAAUAAUAGAAACUAAUUUAGAAAAAAUAUUUUUUUUUAAUUUUUAAAAUGGUUUCUAAUUUAGUUACUAUUACAGCUAAUUAUUUUGAUUUUUAAAAAUUGGUUUCUAUUUCAUGAUUUUUUUUAGUGUUAAAUAUUCUAAAUUUAUCUUUUUAAAAUUAAAUACUUUAUUUGAUUAGUUGGUGUUAGAAUGUUUGUUACGUUUAUGAAGGAUGUGGUGUGGUUCGUAGUGGUGCUUAGUGCAUUUGGUGAAUAUCUGAAUUUUUGCAUUUUGAGUUUCACUUUUUUAUAUCACACAAUCUGGACAACUUUUACAUUAUAAAUCUAUAAUAUUAAUUUUUUAUUUUAUUUUAUAAAUUAUAAUCUGAAAUUUAUAUUUAUAUAUUUUUAAUAUAUAUUUUAAAAUAUAAAAUUUGUGAUUUUUUUAAAUAUUUUGUUUUUAUUUUAUUCUUAAGUUGUGGAAUUGCAUCACAAUCACAUAUAUUUCAUUGGUUUGUACAAACAACUAUAGAAAACAACUUUAGAAGUGAGGGCUGAAUAUAGAGAUGAAAUUCUAAUAUUGAACCAAAAUAUACGAUGAAGUAGAAAAGUUGUUUGUGAUGAAUCAAUUGGAUAUAAUGAAGUUUGUGACAACUUAAAAUGAAUUGGUUGAAGGAAAUUGUGUUUGCUCUUUAACAACAAAUAAUAUAAUUAUAAUUUAAUUAAUUUAAGUAGAAACAUGUGAUAUAUGACAUUUUUUUUAUUAGCAAAGAAUAGAAUUAAAUUAAAAGGGACAUUUCAAACCCUUAUACAAGAACCAUUCACCACAUAUAGCUAUAACAGAUCGAGGCAACCAAACCAUAAAAAUAAAUACAACACUAAGAAACCAGACACGAAAGGGCUGCCAAUACAGCUACAAAAGUGCUUCUGAAUUAUGCCGCAGAAACAAGGAAACUUGUCCCAGCAACCUGUACCGCAUGAGCUACAUUAAACGCCAUCUGGAUGCUGCCCCAUGACUACAAUACCUCUGUUGCAGCCCCAAAAACAUCCUGCUGAAACCUGCUUCUAGUCCCUUGGCCCAUCUUGUUGGUACUUCAAUGUACACAUGACCCCCAAACUGCUUACAACCGGAUCACCUACAUUGCACAAAACUAGCAACCAACAACAUUCCAACCAAAUCUUCACUUGGAUUGCCUUAAUUACUAAAGCCAAGUAGAUUCCACCUUUUUCACUUACCAACAGCACCUUCCAGGUACACCAAUGGGAGCUCCAGAUAUAAAACCAACCACGUCACAAGAUCUAAAGCAGCAUGUCGGGUUUACCUUCUUAUUUGGACAACAGCAAAAAUGCGCCUUCCAAAGGACCAAUCACUUCAGCUGCUUGUCACAAAUAUGCAAUAUAACUUAGGUCCACCCUGCACCAGCAUAGUUGGCUGCAACGCAUCAAAACAACCCCUCAACAUUAGAUUGUUACACCGUGGUCAGAGAUUGAUCAUAGUCGUGACUCAUGCAUUUGAAAGAUUCAAAAGGAGAGUCCCUUCGCACUCAUUCACAUAAACUCUCAGCUUUGGCAUAAGCUUUCCUUCAUAAUAGGAUACUCCAUCCCAAUCUAUUCUAGUAGCUACAAUCACAUUACAUCAGGAAAAACUUCUAAAAUGCUACCCCACACCACAGCUCCUACUUCACUCACCUUUCAACACUUCCUACUGAUUUCCUCACCACUUCCUCCCUUAAUUUCAUCUGCUUCACUACAUAACCGUUAUGCUUCAAAUCUGGAUAUAGAAACAAGCUGUGUGAAUAUCAGUAUUCACAUUAACUGCUCAAAAGUUCUAAAAGACCCUGCUCUGUUUGAUUUCUGCAACAACUACACAACCACACCACUACAGAAUACUAUGCUCCUCCAUUAUGACCAUCAAUCAUUCCUCCAAAAGCUCCUUGGCUUCGAGUCCAUCAUCACUAGAGACCUCCCUUUUCAGAGUACACUUUGAAGGCAUUGGCUUGGGUUCAGAUGCCAAUUCGAAGAAGCAUACGAAAAGGAGCACACCCUGUGUUUCAACCAUAACCAAGUAAGGAGUUGAGCCAUUUGGAAAAUUUCUUCAGCGUCAGGUACCCCUAGCUUAAAGAUAACACUAUUCCUCUUCUCCAAGAUGCAUCGAACUAUUGCCACCCACAUACCUUUCAACACUUGAUUCGGCUUAAUAGACAUAUGAGCCAGAUAAAAGUUCUCAAAGUGACACCUCAAAUCCUUAUGUUGAACAAACAUAACACCUAUCCACCUGAAGCAUAAAGACCAAACUCGUUGUGCAAAAGAACACUCCCAGAACAAGUGUUGAGUAGUUUCUUCUGACUCUCUACAAAGCACACAAAUAGAAGAGUUUACUGCCACCCCUCUCCUAAGAAGAUUAACAGAAGUUGGGAUUUUGUCGAGUAAGAUUCUCCAUGCAGUUAUAAGGGCUUUAGGCAUUGCUUUAACCUGCCAAAGAGAACAAAAACCGCUAUCAUGUGCAUCAUUGUUUUGAUUAGCCAGACGUACAUAAGCUGACUUCACAGAGAAGUUCCCUGUGGUAUCCCCUCCCCAGACAAGAAUAUCCUUGGAUUCCUUGUUCAUGAUGCCUUUGUUAAUGUGCGUAAGCAACUCUUCCUCCAAAAACGGAUUCCCAAUCAAACCUAGCCCUCCUCCAAUUUAGCCUCCAUUGCCAUCCAUAAACCUCGCACGUACCUACCUCUCCCACCUUCAUUCCUUGAUCCAUAGAAAGAGAAUAAAGUCUAGGAUACAUAGACUUAAGAUUAUUGUUAUUAACCGAAGCGUCUUCCCAGAAUCUAACAUUGCCUCUAUCACCAACUUUCCACACAAUAGUCUUUUGGAACCAAUCAUCAUCUUCACCCUCUCCACAAGCUUUAGAAAGAUCUCUCCACCACCAAGACUGUCAUUUCGAACGGGCUUGGCUUCUUCCUAAUUCCGAACCAUACUUAGAAAAAAGAAUGUCUUUCCACUUCCCUUUUUCAUCCUUCAUCAGUCAUCAUUUCCAUUUUUGUCAGCAAAGCAUUAUUAAAGUUUAUGAAAUCUUUAAUCCCCAACCCUCCUUUCUCAAGGGGUUUACACACAUUCUCCCAUCUUACCCAUGAUAUAGACCAGUUAUCUCUGCCCCAAGCCCAAAGGAACUUCCUUUGUAUACUGAUUAUUCUGUUACAAACCGACAUCGGUGCUUUAAAGAAGGACAAGUAAAAGAGAGGAAUGGCGGUAAACACCGAUUUAAGUAAGUAGACUCUUCCUGCCAUAGAUAAAAAUCUCCCCUUCCAGAUACUAAGUCUAGCAUUGAUUUUGUUUAUGACUGGCUCCCAAAACUAUUUCUUCCUUGGGUUACCUCCUACUUCUAAUCCCAGAUAUUUAAAAGGGAUCGUCAUGGUCAUGCAGUUCAGAGUUUUUGCAUAGGUAUUGAGGGAGAAGCUAUCAACACCAAUGCCUGCCAACUUUGAUUUGUGGAAGUUGAUUUUUAGACCUGAGGCAAGUUCAUAACACCUUAGCAUCGCCUUUAUAGUGAAGACAUUAAAGAAUGAGUCUUCGCACAUAAACAAAGUGUCAGCAGCGAAUUGUAACAAACAACACUCAAUUUCAUUCCUCCCCACCUUCUCACCUUUGAGCAAAUUCAGUUUUGACACUUGUCUCACUAACCCGGCCAAGCCUUCAGCUACCACGAGGAAGGGAAACAGAGCUAAAGGAUCUCCCUGUCUUAACCCCCUAGAGGGUUUAAAUUCCUCCGUAGGGCUACCAUUAACCAGAACAAACACAAACAACGACUCCAAGCAUCCUCUGACCCACGCAAUCCAUUUAGAAUGGAAUCCCAACCUUUGUAACAUAUCAAAGAGGAAUUUCCACUUAACCGAGUCGUACGCCUUUUCGUAGUCCACCUUCAAACAAAUCCCACUCCUCCGUUUUCUAGUUACCUCCUCAACCACCUCAUUUGCCAGAAGGACACUAUCUAACCUUCCACGAUCCUUCAAAAAAGCUAACUGACUCUCAUCAAUGACCAGAGAGAGGACAUCCUUCAUACGAAACGAUAACACCUUAGCUAUGAUCUUAUAGAUGGAUCCUACAAGGGAAAUUGGUCUGAACUGGUCAAGCGUAGUAGGGUCCCUGACUUUAGGUACAAGUGCGAUGAAAGAGGCGUUACACCCCUUUGGAAUGCACCCCGUUUCCUAAAAGAAGUGCAUCGCUUCCACAAUGUCAGACUUAAAAGUUUCCCAACUAUUCUUGAUGAAAUUGAAAUUGAACCCAUUCGGGCCCGAACUCUUUGAACCUUCACAUUGCCAAACAACUUCCUUCACCUCUUCCUCUGUGAAGCUGGACACUAUUCUUAAACUAACCUCCGCGGGAAGGGUUUUGAACUCCACAAUACCAAGAUUAACCCCACAAUCAUGUGUAACCAAGAAUCUUUGAUUAAAUGUACUCUUAGCUUCCCUACAAAUAACUUUCAGCUCUUCACACCAUUGAUGAUCAAUCUCUACACCUUUGACCUCAUUUUUAAGUCUUCUCCACUUGACUCCAUUGUGAAAGAAUUUAGAAUUUGUAUCUCCCAACUUAAACCAGUUUGCUCUAGAUUUUUGUCUACAAAGAGAUUCCACCUGCUUAUCAAUCAGCCUCAACUGACUAAACAACUCCAUUCUUCUCAACUGACCGUGCUCCUCAAGAAUAUUGUUGUCAUCGUUAACAUCGAGAUCUUCAAUAUGCCUCAAAAUUUGCUUCUUCUUGGACUCUAGACACUCAAACACAUUUUUGUUCCAUUCUUUAAGGUCGGCCUUUAGAAGCUUCAAUUUAUCUUUGAGUUUAGAUAUGCUAUUCCCCUGCACAUUAUAAGAACACCAUUUCUCCUUCACAAAGUCCUUGAAACUAGGCUCCAUAAACCAUGCGUCAAUGGUUCUAAAAGGUUUAGACCCCCAAUCUUUGACCGAAAAUUUCACCACUAUAGCGCAAUGGUCGGAUACCACUCUCGGUUGUACAUAUUGCUUGCAAGACGGCCAAAUUUGAAGCCACUCUUAGGAAACAAGAAACCUAUCUAAUCUGCUUUUACCUGUACCAUUUGACUUGAACCAAGUAUAUUUUUGACCUACUACGGACACGUCCACCAAGUAAUUGCUUUCAAUAAAAUCAUUAAAGCCACUAAUCUCCUUUUUUUUGACUAGAAUUGCCUCUAACUCCUUUCCUUUCAUCUUCUCUUCUAACUGCAUUAAAAUCCCCACAAAAGCACCAUGCCACACUUUGAUGCAUACUCUUAAAAGACGUCAAAGUUUCCCACUGAGCAACCGUAUCACUUAAAUUGCAUGCUGCAUAAACGUUUAUCACAACACACAAGCUAUUAGAUUUAAGGUGUUGGCCCAGAAUAACAAUAAAGCCACUUCCUACAACAUGUUUAUCAUACCGAAAUGCUUCUUUGUGCCACAUGGAUAAGAUGCUCCCUGCCCCAUUCACUCCUUCAUUAUGUAUCCACCCAACAUUACUAUCUCUCCAUAGCGAAAAACAUUUAUUGUCUGAUAAAGUAGAUGCUUUUGUCUCUUGCAAACAUAAGAAUUCCGUACCCUCCUUAGCAAUAAAGUGUUUCAAAUAGCGAGCUUUAGAAACCCCCCAGACCUCUAAUAUUCAUAUUGAUAAUAAUCAUAACACACCGGCAUCCUCCUCAGACGACAUCAUUACUUCGUUAUCUCUAACCUCCAUACAAUCCAUUUCUCUAAUCACUGCCUCCUCAUUACCUGAACAUUUCAUCCCCAGAUGUUUACCCGUUCCCCACAACUUGACAGAUUCAGUAUCAUUCCAUUCGACCCUCAGACGGUUAUUACAAUUGAUAAUAUCACUAUCAGUUCCGGCUUUAGAGCAGAGGCUUAACCUGGAUGAGGAUCUGAUCCCAUAUUGAAGGGUUCCUUGGCCUCCCUUGGACAUCCUUCGUGGUUGUGCAGAGGUCGCACCCAAUUCCCAGAGAGCGCGUAUCCUCUGGACUCUCUCUGGUGACUUGAACCCUUCCUUCGCACCUGCAUCUUCCUCCCAGUGCCAUCGGUCCUCCUUUCUAACACUAAAUUAUCCUCGAUUCCCUCUUCGCAGAGACUUUGAUUAUGGUUAUUAAGAAGGUCCUUGUCGCUGCAUUCCGAGGAGCUUCCGUCAUUGCCGCACCGCUUAACAAAAGGAGUUUCUUCUGUUUUAGUCAGUGUAUUCGCCUUUCCUUUCGUCGGUAGGGGUGCCCCAUAUAACAACUCACCUGAACGAUUCUCCAUCUCACCUUCGACGUCACCGGAGUAGACAGGCGAAGCCUUCGGACUUCCUGUCACUCCUAACAUGUCCCCUGAAUGACCCUCUGCCUCUCUACCCCCACCUCCCGUAUUCACAGGGCCCAAUAACAAAGUUUUUUGAUUUUGGGCUUCAACGACAAAAAGAUGGCCCACACAUGUUUCAGGCCAAGUAACCUUUGCACAAGAUAAUUGUACCUCAGCUAAGUUAGCCAAAGAAUUUUGAAUAAUCAUGCAAGCUGCGUUGACCUGUUGUGCCACUGAUAAAGCUGCCCCUACAUCAGAACCUACCUUCUCACGCAUUGCCUUAUUUGAGUAGGAGGAUCUGUCUUUUUGCUGACACACCAAAUCAUUCUGACAACACUCUUCCAAGAGCUUCUUUUUUUGUCUCUAGCGGAGCACAAACUUUGUCUCCUUCCUUGGUCGCCUCCGGUUGCCGUAAAACACCACCGUCAUCACCGUUCUCAUCCCCAUCAUCACUAGAUCUUGACGAGAAAAUCGUUUCCUCAACAAAGGAUUCCAUUGAAGAAACGCUAUCUGAGGAGUCGUAGUGAUUCACGGGGCAAUUACACACUCCUACCCCUUGCAAGGGUUCCUCCUCAACUAGAGAAAUAUUAAAAGCUUUUCCAUUAAUCUGAAAGGCCUUUACCACCCCUUCUUUACAGGACAACGACAUACGAACCUGGAAACGAGCAAAUUCUAGGUUCUCCCAUGAUAAUGUAGCCUCAUCUAUGGUUACCACAGACGCUGCUUCUCCAACCACCUUUGUAAGGCAUUCCUUGGUCCACAAAGAUAUGGGUAGACCAUAACAUCUGACCCAUACCAAUCUGUGGUUCGCUACACAUGCUUCAGACCAUGGUUCUACGUCCUUGAACACACUUACAAACCAGUCUUUGUUUAGCUUAAUAAUGUCUUCCAUAUGAUCCCCUUCCUUAGGUGUUAGGAGUACCAUGUUAUCUCCCAUAAAUCUAACUUUAACCAUACUCAUCCCCCUUUGAUAAGUUCUUCACAUAGUAAAUCAAAGUUCAUGUCUUCGGACAUCCAUCCAACUGCACUGUUAGCCAUCCAAGGAAGAACUUGUGACUUAGUUUCAAAGACAAGACCUUUCCACUUCUCUUGUGAGGUAUUUCUAACUACAUAAGCAUAAGAGUGACUCACGUUAUGUGCCCUUUUGACAUCCUUUCCUUUUUUUUUUUCUCUCCAUACCUCCUUACUUUUUGGCUUCACAGGUUCAUGAGUGAAAUGAUUUUUGGCCUGUAUGGGUAAAUCAGACUCACCACCUAAUUGUGCAGAUACAACUCUCUUGUAUUUAGGUAUGUUCACAUAUAACUUCAUGUUGCCAAUGUAGAUUUGAUCCAACUGCUUCUCUAGACAAAACACAUUUUCCACAUCAAAUAACCUCACAAAACCAAAUCUUCUUCCCCAUCUAUUAAGACGUUUUGAGAUGAAUACCUCUUUCACCCUAGCCCAUUUCUGAAAGAUCUUUAGCAUGUCAUAUUCGCCAAAGCCACCUGGAAAAUUUGAAAAGAAGAACGUAAAGUAAUUAUUCACCGAAAAAAAAUUUCUAUGCUCCUCAGUUUUCCGUCGGUGGCCUUCUCUCUCCCUCCUCCAACGUUCCUCCCUAGUCCUCCGCCAGCGCUCCUCCUUCAUGACCGUGUUUUAAUCAGUCACAUUUUAUAUGAAUAUCCAUUGAAAUGAUUCAACAAGUACAAGACAUAUGACAUAUACUUAUGUUAUAAUGUAUUUAUUUAGAUAUUUGGUAUGCAGGAUGACUUUAAUGGGUACAUAAGGUGACUGUUAAACUUUCCAUUUGUAACUGUCAUUUUGAGGUUCGACAAAGAGCAAAUGGGUCAAGGAAGAAAUACAUGUUUAUUGGAAAGUACUGUAACUUGUACAAAAUAAUGUGAUUUUACUUUUAAAUUAUUUUAAAUUAUAGAAUAAAUCAUUUUGCAAUGGAGAAGUUUGAGGGUUGAAGGUAAUAUGUGUGAUUUAUAAUCAUGAAUUUUUUUUAUGAAAACAAAAUUUGUAGAUAUUUUAUCUACGGACAUACAUCCUUAAAUAAUAUUAAUAAUAAAAUAUUACCCACCGAUAUAGAUCUGUAUGUAAAUUACUUAUAUCUUUAUAUUUGUAGAUAAAUUUAUCUAAAUAUUUAUAUAUGUAGAUAUCACUUACUAUUAUAUCUGUAUAUAGUAUUAAUAAUAUUAAUAUUAAUUAUGAUAAUAAUAAUAUUAUAAUUAUUAAUAUUAUUAUGAAUACUAUUUCUAUUAUUAUUAUUUAUUAUUAUAAAUAAUAUUAAUAAAAAUAAAAAAUAAAAAAUAAAACAAAAAUAUUUUAUCAUUAUUAUUAUUAUUUUUAAUAAUUUUUUUGAUAAUAAUAAUAAUAUUAUUAUUACUAUUAUUUUAUUAUUAUUAUAUAUUUUAUUUUGCAGGCCAGCAAACCAACCUGUCCCGCCCCGCUGUUGGCCUUCGCGAGUUGCGGUUAUGCGGGAUGAGUCUAAGCGGGUCAGCGAGCUAGAUUAGUGAACCCGCCCUACCCUUUUUAGUAGCGGGCCGCAGGUCGGUCCUCAUGGUCCACUCUACAUUGCCACCUCUAGCUUGUACCCAUAUUGGCAUAAAAUACGCUCUAACAAAUGGCAAUGUAUACACGUACCUAGAUGAGCAUAUCAAAAGAACAUGAAUAUCAACUCGAAUGAACUACUAAGAUGAUGGUCAUCGUAAGGAUUCCAAAUUAUCCUUGCAUGGGUCAGACCAUCCAACUGCAUAUACAUAAUGCUAACAUUGUGUAGUAAGCGGAUUGGGGAGGCCUUCGUUUACCAUUGGGACGCGUGUUCUCACUUUAAUCAGUUUUACCUUGAUUGAACUUCUCAGAAGACUAAGAAAUAUUGAAGGUGUUUGUGGAUUGCUAUGAUUGGGGAAAUUUAGAAACAAAGGAACCUCGUUAUCUUUAAGAAUGGUAGAGUGGAUUGUCUGGAGAUCUUCACCUUGGCCCAACUCAAGGUGUGGUCUUGGCUCACGAGUAGAGUAAACAAUGUUUCAUUUACGUAUGCUUAAUGGUGUCUGGACCCUUUGUUCUAUUUGAAGUCAAUUAAAAAGUAAAUGUGGAGUUGGGGUCUUUGUGAGUUUUGGUAUGUGUUGCAGGUUUGUCAGGUGGUUCCGGGGUUUUGAAGCUUAUUGAUUUAUUUCUUCUUAUUGUUUUACUUUUCCCCUUUUGGAUGGAAGAACUUGAUAGGAUCUUGGUAGGUUUUUUGGUUGGAGCUCUUGACCUACUAGGGUAAUGAGCCUUUAAAAUGGACGUUGUCGGGCAGUGCUAGUGGGGGGAAUCUUGUGGGGGCCGGUAGGUUAGCUUAGUUAACUUUGAUAUAUCUUGUUUUUAUGGUUUGGGUUCUACUAACGUUGGUCUUUGGCCAACAAAGGGGUUUAUUCUUGGUUGUAGGUUGUAAGUUGGAAUCUGGUGUUUUAUAGGUAAGCUUAGUUUUUUGCUUUAUCUCUGGUGGUGUGUUUUGAUCAGGGUUUAUGGAAAUCGGACAUAUCGGCAUGAAGGUAAAGGUACUCUAGGCUUUGAAGAAGAGUGGUUCUUUUAGCAUGAUGUUGUGAGUUUGGCUGUGGGUAAGGGAUUUGAGUUGUAUUAGUUUUUUGAUUUGUAACUAUGUUUGUAGAAUUUUGGUUGUAGUAGGAUUUGUUUUGUGUGUAUUGUUUGGACUAAAGACUGGUUGUAUGAACCUGGAUAGGGGAGUAAGGGCUAACUUGCGUGGUUUGCCACUCCUUUCUUUUGAGGUUGGGUUUGGAGGUCUGUAGAGCCUGAAUGGUCAGGUUUUGUGCAUGUUGGAUUUGGCUAUAUAAUGUAUAAGGGUUGAGACACCUGUGAAGUAUCUCCUUUUAUUAUAUUUAUUUUUUUGCUGAGAAAAAAUAAACAUUGUGUAUAUAUCGCCUAGUGACAUAUUUUCUUGUUCAUGAGUCAACCCCUAAUAAAGUGAGAUUCAUAUAUUUCACUCCUAUCCUUAAAAAGUGCUCGUGUAUCAAUGCCUAUUACAAUUUCAACAAAAAAAAAUUGUUCAUAUAUUCAUAUGAAAAUAAAUCUACCUUAUACAAAUUAUAUAUAUUAUCUACCUGUAAAAUCGUAAUAUAACUGUCCAAUUAUUUUUUUUUGAACAAACACAUAUUCCUUAACUAGUCCUACAUCUGAGUCACAUGUAUUAUUUCCUCAAGUCUUUAUACAUUUAUUAUACUAAUAAAAAAUGAAUUUACUCAAUUUACCUAUUUAUAACAAUAGAAUAAAAAAAUUUACAUAUUUUUACCAAAUAUUAACUAUAAUUAGAAAAUAAUAUUAUUAAAAUAAUAAAUAAAAAUUAAAGUGUUAAUAUAAUUAAGUAAUAAUAAAUAAAUUAAGUAGUCAAACUGUGGAUACAUUGAAAAAUGUUAUAAUAUUAAAAAACUGAAAAUGUCAAUCUAUAUAAUUAAAAAUAAUAAAUAAUUAAUAAAAAUGAUAAAAAAUUAUUAUUAAUGGUUUACAAGUAAAACCACCCACCAUAUUCAUUAAUUUAACUUGCAACUGCAUACCAUGUUUAAAAAAUCUACAUCAUUGAUUAGAUACAGAGCAAACUAACAGUGUCGAUUACUACCAUCGCUAACUCGUUUUGAGAAUCUAUACUGCGGAACGGAUUUAUUUUUUGCAAUAGGGUCCAAGAUCCCAACCUUCUUUUACCAGUCAAUAAUAUUUGUUUUAGGCAGAAAAUUAUUUUAUAAUUGAAAUUUGUUCUUAAUUAGAAGUAUUUUGCUAUGCUACCUUUUUUUGUGUAAUGUUAUUUAUAUAUUGUGUAUCAUCGUUUAUUAAUCAGUGAAAAUCAUUCAAAUUUAUUUUAUAUAUUACUUUUCAAAAUUUCUAGAGUAAUAAUUAACAAAGACUUAUUAAUUGACAUUAAAAAUCAGUUAUUUAAAACCACGAACACUUUUCACUUUCUAAAAUUAAUAUAUCUAAGAUAGUUUUUAUUUAAAGAAUUUGACGGUGACAAUAAUGAUACUUGAAUGUUAUUUAAUCGUGUUAUUUUAUAACAUAUUUUAUUUAAUAUAGUAUUAUUCAAAAGAUAAUUAUAUCAUAUAUUUUUAAUAAAUAUUAUAUUUAUCCCAUUUGAUAACAUAUAUAGUUCAUUAUAUUUUCUUCUUUCUUAACAAAAUAAUUAAGCAUAAAGUAUUUUCUCUUUUCAAAAGUAUCUUUUUAUAAUACAUAUUAUGAUUGUUUUGAAUAUAUAACUUUUUCUUUUUUUUAAUAAAAAUACUAUUAUUUAUAAAAUUUAAGAAAAAUUAAGAAUUUUGGGGUUGCCAUGACAUCUUUCCUAUCGAAGAGACUCUUUUACUAGCUGCCUUCCCUAGUUGUCAUUUGUUAUAACUAAUCAUAUUUUUCUUUACUAUUACGAAUAAUUUAACUCUUUUUUCUGGGUACUUUAGGGGUAUCAAAGUGAAGAAAUGAAUAUCUUUGCCAAAAUGGGCUUGCAUAUUUAGAUAUAAUAUUAUAUUGUCAAGUAUAUUUGUGCAUAUAUGUUAUAAAAUCCUACUGUCAAAAUUUGAUACCUGGGCCAACUCCAAUGCAUUACUUGUUACUUUUUGUUUUUGUAAAAGGGAAAAACAUGCUUACAUCAAUUCACGUGCAAAUGGACAAGCAAAUAGAUAACUUUGAUAUGCAAGUCAGAGCCUUUUGUUCAUGAAUGAUUGAGUUAAUCACAAUGGGGACAGACAAAACUAUUCCUAUAUACUUUCAAUAAUUCACUGCAUAUCAUAAAAUAAUAGAUUGCAAGCUCGUUUUUUCCUUUCAAAACCAACACUUUUAAUAAUUAAAAUGUUAACAAAAAUAUUUUUUUUUUCUAAAUCAAAUGAACAAACUUAAUCAGCUUAUACCGAAAAACUAAAUAGAACAUAUACAGAUAUUGCAUGGAACUGAUUUUAGAGGCAGUGUCAUUGUAGCAGCUGCCUCAGCCACUGCCUAGAGCAUUGCUGCACCAGUGUUGAUACUGCCCUUCAUAUACUGCACUUUUUUUUAUGGCAUUCUACGGCUCUGGUAAGGAUCAGAGACCACAACAUUCAUCAAGUAGCUUUACAACUUUCAUCUUCUCAAAUUUUCCAGAUAAUUAUGGGGAAUACGAUAGGAUCAAGAUCUUCCGGUGAUGGACUAGGGUAAAGGAAGUGUUCAACAGGUGGGGGGAGAAGAUUUGGGUUUUUGAGGCUCUUUGAUGUGGAAAACACAAGUACGCUGGAGAGGGAGCUGGACCAAGUUCGCGUAGGCAAUAUGAAACUCUAUGUCAAUAUUCCGCGUUAUAGAAGAGCAGAGUUGGAGCAACCGGUGAGUCACACAAAAUCUGCGGUGGAACAACCAUACCGUAAGUUCAAUGAAGCUAGGAAACGCUACAAACAAGAACCAAGGGAGAAAAACAACAAAGAGGUAUGAAGGGUUAAGAAAGGGAAGGAGAAGAAUGAAUGGAGAGUGAUCAAAGAAAAGCAAUCCUACGCGGGUGCAGUGAAAAAAUCUUCAAAAGGAGUAUGGAAGGUUCCUAUUAUUGAAACCAAGCAACAAGUCCUACCUUGGAUGUCUAAUAGUGCAAUGAGGCAUAUAUUAACAAAUUUAAGCUAUAAUCAGUUGUGUGAAGAAUUCAUCAUGGGGGGAUGAAUAUGGUUAAAGUGAGGUACUUGGGUGAUAAUCUGACUGUGUUAACUCCUAGAGAAGGGGAACAGAUGGAAGAUCUUAUCAUGUUUAACAAAGAAUGGUUUGAAAAUGUUUUUGAGGUUAUUGAGCCAUGGUGAGAUUCACACGUAGCAGGCCAUAAAAUUGUUUGGGUUAGAUGCUAUGGGCUCCCUAUAUCUCUGUGGAACAAAUAUUACUUCUCUAAAGUGGUAGGUGAGGUAGUUUCCUUAGUGUUUAUUGAUAAGGCAACAAAAUCAUGGGAUAACCUUGAGUAUGCAAGACUCCAACUGCGUCUCCUUAAGUCGUGCUCUAUCAGCUUAGCUAAGGGGAUGAAGAUCAAUGGCCAUGUAUAUAACAUUUGCAUUGAAGAGGAGCACCCUAAUUUUGUUGAAGGUAAAUGUAAGUGCACGUUUAAUCACUAUGCUUCAUUAGGUAGUAUAACGUUAUCAGAGUCCUUUGUGGAGGAAACCUAGUUUUCGGAAAAGAAUGUUGAUGAAGAUGUCAGGAAAGGGGGAGGGGAGUUGCGGUGGCCAGAGGACUCGAUGAGAGGUGGGAAUGUCAACAUCCCGCAUAAGACAAACUUGUUGUAUGUUGAGGAAUUGUGUGUGCAUGAUAAAAAUGGGCAGGAGAAAGGUGGUAGUUCUUACACAAAUAAGGUAAAGGGGAAGCAGACAAAAUGUGUAGGGGACUCAACUUUAUGUGUCCUAUAUGGUCAAUGUUGCAUGCAAAAGCAACUUUGUCCAAGUAGCCUUGACCAAUCUUCUUGUAGUUGUGGAGGCCUUUAACAGUAGCAAGUCCAAUAAGAAUGUGGCCCAAAGGCUGCGUAGAGGCCUAUUCGGGGAGAGGUGUAGAGGCCCAAUUUUGGGACGACGACCCAUGUUAUGUAGAGGGUGGGCACGUAGAAUCAAUGGUUGGUCUAGUACGUGAGGAGGGCGUAUGGGCCAUUGGGAGCGAAACCGUGACAACCACUUUGAACGACAGUGAGAAAGGGAGUUCGUUCGUGGAAGCUAGCGACGAUAGUGAGAAUGGAGAAAAUCUGUUCAUGGAAAACAGUAGUGCUAUAGAGAGGGGAGAAAAUAUGUUUGUGGAAACCAGUAGCGCUAUCGAGAAUGGAGAAACACAUUACACACCCAUCAAUAGUAGCGCGUGCUCCGCCCAGGUGGGCAACUCGCACAUAGAGGAAGGUCCCCGAACCAGUCUCAUUAACAAAGGCAUCAGGGACGAAGUAGGUAUUCAGAUUCAGAGCAUUGAUGACCACGAAAAACAAUCCUUAGUGUUCGAUGAUGAAGAAGAUGAUAAGGGGGAUAAUUUUGUUACCCCGCCACGACACCGACGUCAGAAGGGUUGUGGGAGUUGGGAGAAUCAAGCAGGAUGCCUCGGGGGAAGUCUAGAAUUGGAGCGGGAAGUCUUUAUGUAGGGAUUUUCUCAGAUUCAAGGGUUAGUACAAAUUCUAACACCUUAUCUGGCGACAAUAUUGUUAAUUGUAACAGUAGAUUUCAGAUUUUUGGAAAUAUUGAUGAACCUAUAUAUCAAUUUUUGGGAGGUAGGAAAACAGUUAGGGGUCUCAUGUUGUGGGUAUGAGGAUGAUGUGGUCAAGGAAAUAGAAAGAAGGGAAGCAAGAGAUUUGGAGGUUAUGAAAAAGUACGAGGAGAGAAAUAAGGGGAGUUUCUUAUGAUUAUUGUGAAUCUGAAUAUAAGAGGUCUUGGGGAGGGAGGGUACUAAGGCUAAAUAUAUGAAAAAUAUUAUAGCCAACGAGAGUGCGAAUGUGUUGUGCUUACAAGAAACAAAAACAGUUGCGUUCUCAGAAGCUAGGUGUUUUUUGCUAUUGAGGAUAAUAAUGUGGGAUGGUUACAUAAUGAAGGUAUAAGUGGUGAUGGGAGUUUGCUAAUUACGUGGCAUAAAGAAGCGUUUCGUUGUGAUAGUCAUGUGGAGGUAGGGGCUUCAUUUAUAUUUUUGGUAAGCAUAUCAUAUCUAAAAUAAAAUGUGUGGGGAUCAAUGUGUAUGCAACGUGCAAUCUGAAUGACAAAGUGACCUUAUGGGAGGAAUUGACAACCAUUAAAAAUGCAAAUAAGAACUUGGCAUGGUGUCUUUGUGGCGAUUUUAAUGCUGUAAGAUGUGAAAAUGAAAGGAAAGCUAAAAGUGAAAGGGGCAACCAAAACAAUGAGAUCACUGGCUUUAACCAUUUUAUCGAAAGGAAUUUCCUGGUGGAAUUGCCAAUUGUGGGUAAGAAGUAUACUUGGUACAAGGAAAAUGGUACAACAAAAAGCAGACUAGAUAAAGUGCUUUUGUCUGACGUUUGGUUACGGAAAUGGCCAAUGGACAAACAAUAUGUACAACCAAGAGAGGUGUUAGAUCACUGUGCCAUAGUGGUGAAAUGUUUGGCCAAAGAUUAGGGUCCUAGACCCUUCAGGACUAUUGAUUCUUAGCAGAUGGAGUAUGGAUUCAAGGAUAUGGUGAGAGAUAAGUGGAAUUCUUACUUUGUUCAAGGCUAAAGCAUAACGAAAUUCAAAGAUACAAGCUAAAAAGUAUUAAGGCAGACCUCAAAGAGUGGAAUAGAGAUGUGUUUGAGCAUCUGGACAUAGAGAAGAACAGAAUUAUGAAGGAAAUUGAGGUUUUAGAUAUCCAAGAUGACGUCUUCGACCUCGAAGGCCACGCAAGGUUGAAGAGAAUGGACCUUACAGGUCAAUUGAGAGUGAUCAAUAAAAAGAUGAAGUCUCUCUUUAGGCAGAAAGCUAGAACUAACUGGUUUGUGCAUGGAGACUCUAAUUCUAAAUUCUACCACUCCGUAAUUAGAUGGAGAAGACUUAGAAAUGAGGUAAAAGGUGUCCUUGUGGGGAUCAAUGGUGUGAGCAACCUGAGGUUGUUCGAAGGGAAGCAAAAACUAUGUUUGAGGAUAGAUUUGUGGCUACACAUGAUUUUGGGGUUUAGGGUUUAACAAAGACAAUCAAGAAAAAGGCACACAAAAAGAAUCUAAGAUACUUACUAAACUUUUAACAAUGAAACUUUCUUUAGAAAUUGUUAAAGCAAAAGGAUAAAAAUUCCACAAUGUUAAAAUCAAUUUGUCAAUCAAAAUGGACCCACUAUUUUGAAAUGUUGCUAUUUUGAAAAGGUUGGAACCAAUAGACUUGCACAACUUCUCUUAUUUUUUUUUUAUACUAUUAUGGAAAUGAAAUGUCCAUAGUUUUGAUCAUGCAUAUUUUCAUAGACCUCCAAAUAUCACAAAAAGUUUGGGAUUCAAAUUAAUUGAUGACUUGAAAUCUUUUGUUUGGAACUUAAAUCUACUUCUACUAAAACAAACUUCCAAUUACUUUUAAACUUUCACAAUUAAAAGCAAAGUAAGUAGAAUCAAAAUAUAAGGACUCUUAGAACACUAAAGAACAUAUGACUCAAGACAAAAGAGGCAAGAACAAUAAAAGACAUAAAGGAACAUUCAAAAUGAGAACAAAGCCAUUGAAUAACAAUAAUGCCAAAUUGAAAAAAAGGAAAGUAAAGGACUGAAAUUAUAUGUGCUUGAAUGUAAAGACAAGAAAUUAAAGGUGUUUGAAUGUAAAGAUAAGAAAUUAAAGGUGUAAGAAAAGUAAAGUGCCAAAUCAAUUCAAAGCAAAAUAAGCUCAAGAACCUAAGCUCUGAUAACCACAUGAUGUGAGUUGAUUUUUAGAUGGUUCCAUUUUAUGGUGACACUUUUGCUUAAAGUUGGGAUUUUAGCAAUUUAUGGUGAAACCUAAGGAAGAUUCCCACUGAACACGAACUUAACCAAAUAGUUAAGUAAGUGUGAAGGUUCACUUCACAAAGGCAAAGAUGAAAAAUCAAUAUAAAAUGAUGCAAUGUGGAAUGGAAAUGGCAAUAAGGUAAGUAUCAAUGGUGGUCAUGGCCGAACCAAAUGAUGAACCAUUAGCAUAUAACAAAAGCAAAACAAAGUGUAAGAGUCCAAGAUAAAGACAUAUAUGAAAUGGAAAUGAAUUGAAAAGAGUGGAAGAAGAGUAGCUUAUGGAGUGAAUGCGAGAGUGGUUCACGUCACUUGGGGUGUGGUAGCCACCAAGAUGAGUGAAGAGCCGCCACUUGAGAGUCUCACACUACUAAAGAUAAGACCUAAUGCUAAGAGGAAACAGGCUUCAGUAACACCUCACACAAAUUGUGCAGAGUAACUUUUCUAUUUAAAUUCAACAUUAAAAAACAAGGAGUAAGGCACCCUAUUUAUAGGAAUGGGUGCAUUGGUGGACAAGAAGGGCAAGGGUAGGGUGGUAAAUGUGUGAGGGGGUUGCCUUUAGGGUUUGACUAAUUCAAAACUGCACCCUAGUCUUGUUCUUCUAGAAACUAGGUCAAAUUUCCUUCCUAAAACACUAGAAACAAGCUAAAAUGAUAACUACACCCCCUAUUAUGCUAUAGGCACCUAUUCUAGCCUAUCUUGCUAUUUUGGACCCCAAAAUGAGCCCAAAUUACUUACAUAACUUUUCUCUUGUGGAAAGGCCAAAAGGAAGAACUUCUGAUAUUCUGGUUUAUAGCUUGUUCUUCUUCUGCUGAUGCUUUCUCGAGGUUUGGUGGACCCGACUUUGUAUACUGAGAUGAUUGACCUUUUUGUGAAUUGUUUGUUGUGUCCUUAGUCCUCUACUGAUUGUUGUGGUUUGUAUCACUAGACAAUGGUGGUUCAUUGUCCAACACUUUUUUUUAAUCAACAAUAAAAAUUUAAUAAAUAGGAGUACUCAGGGUACUCCAACCCAUGUACAAAAAUCCCCUAUGCUAGAGAAAUGAGGUUUCCAGAUAAAAAUGACCAAAACAUAGCCAUAUUCUACCCAUAUAAUUCUAAUAAGCUUAAACAUCUUUAAAAACAUCUAGAUAUCAAUACAUAAAUCAAGCUAUCUAUAAAAAAAUCCAGCAAUCCAAUUCCAGAAUAUAAGCAUGUCAACUCUAAAGAAAGACUUUGCCUCCUUGCUAUCUACUGCAGUUUCCCAAGCACCCAUUAUGACUAUAGUUGUAGCCCAAGGAAAUUCCUCUCAUGCAAACCGAGAAUCCAGCAAAAAAAGUAGAGAAAAUGUGUUAAUCAUCAAUGUAGUGAUUUUAAACUUUCAUAUACAUUAAUACACCAAUCAGAAUAAGAGAAAUUUGACUUUGGAAAUUUAUAACUUACCCAUGCCCACGCUUUUACUUGGACCAAAGCAAUUUUUUUAACAGGAUCCACCAUUGCAUUAUUGAAAAUUAUCCUAUUCCUAUGGUUCCAAAUUCCUCAAAUAAUGGAAAUCCACAUACAUUUCCAGACACAAUUUCCCAAGUAGUUUAAACCUGUAAAACCUAUUUGUUUGUUGAGUAACAUUAUCACAAUGUACAAAAGUUCUACCAGCCCAAGCAUCAGAGAUAUACCACACUUUAGAAGUCACUUUAUAUGUGAAAAAAAGAUGAUUUACUGUUUCAAGCUCAGACCACACAUGGCACACAUCCCCUCUCCAACCUUAAUUCCUCUAUGUAUUAAAUUAUCAUAUGUUGCAAUUUUACCAAUUAAAACACGUCAGGCAAAGUAAUGUGCUUAUGGAAGAGCUUUUAGGCUAAAAAAAGAAUCAAAAUUGAAUGCAGAGAAUGAAUGUGGCUGCAAAAUAUUUUGGUGGCAAAGAAUUUUAUAAGCUGAGUUAACAAUAAAAGAAUUUGAGGUAUCACCUACCCACAUCCACUCAUCAUUUUUACAAGCAUAUAUUUUAAUAGUCUUCAAUUCAUCCAUAAAUUCAUUUAUAAUUUCAGUUUCCCAUUAAAACUACUAUUUUCUCCAUUCUAUUUGCCAUACCCAUUGGUUUUCAUGUCAUACCCUACAGAACCUUCUUUAAGCACUGAGUUUUAAAAAAUUAUGGGAUUUCUAUUUUUCAGAGUAUCAUUUCCUAUCCAAUAAUCUGUCCAAAACAGAAUAUUACUCCCUGCACCGACCUUCCACCUUCUCUGGUUAUCAAACUAACAAUUUGAGUUUCCUCCACACACCUUCUUGAUAUCUCUCCACCACCAAGAUUUAGUAUUUGACACAACACUAUCAUCCAACCCUCUCCAAGAACCAUAUUAAGAUUACGGGUGGCAAAGCGGCCCGCCCGCCCCGCAUAGGCCCGCGGGCUGGCUUGCAUUUUUGUUUUGAAACAUGGAGGAGAAGUGGAGGCAGCAACGGUGCGGUAGCAGUGAUGUGCGGCAACAACAGUGUGCAGUAGCGCGACAGUUGCAGGCGAAGCCGCACGGAGUUGCAAGUGGAGCGAGCGAAGUCGCAGGUGGAGCGAGCGACGACACUGCAACAGAGAGUGCGUCGUGUACAUUUUUUGGAACAACAUAGUUGCGUUGUGUUUUGAGUGAAAACCUAAUUUUCUUUCACUCAAAGUUGCAUCUCUUCCACGGACCAUUGCUGCCAAGUCAAUUUUUUUUUUUUUUAGCGAGCUAGCAGGCCAGCCCGCCUUGCCCCACUGCUGGCCCAUCCCACUUUGCCACCCCUAAUUUAGAUUCCAAUACCGGUUUCCAAAGUCCUUAUUUUUCACAACCAAGUCCCCAUUAUCAUUUCCCAAGAAGAACAAUAUUAAACAAAUUUACAUCCUUAAUUCAUAGUCCUCCUUCCGAUUUGGAUUGACAUAGGAAGUCCCACUUGAUCCAGGCUAUCUUCCUUUUAUCACUUCCCCAUCCCCAUAAAAAAUCCCUUUGUAAUCUUGUGAUUAAUUUCGCAACUGCCAUAGACAUUUUGAACAGAGAUAAGUAAUAUAAAGCGACAGCUGAAACAUGACAGAUUUUAUCAAAAUAACUCUUCCAGCAAAAUAUAAAUGUUUUCCAUUCCAACUAGAAAGCUUAGUUUUAAUAUUUGAUUUCAUGUCUUUCCAAAACACUUUUUUUCCUAUUAUUAUCUCCCACAAGACAUUGUCCUGCACUUGAUAAUUCAAGUGACGUUAAUCUGCCGACGAGGGAGCAUUAGAGUUGGAAUCCAGCGGCUUGCUCUCUGUGCAAUUGGGGGUAUGGCAGCAAGCCUACUGUGGAGGGGUUGCAAGCCAAGUUUAGACUAUGGUAUCUUACAGUAUAGGAGAUUGGGAACAACCAUUUUUUCUAUCUUCUAUUGUCUAUUUAUAUCAAUACUACAAUCCCUCUUUAGGAAUUUGUUUGACUUGGCUCUAUGCAGGUUAAUUGCUAGGAAAUUUAGUGGCUGCUGGUGUUUUUUUUUAUGCAGAACCAUCUGUUUGCUAAGUUGUGUUAAGCUUUUCUAAGUCGUGGUAGAUUUGUUCCCGUAUGGCGUGGAAGAAUGUUUUUUGGUUUGACUAGGAGAAAACGUUUUGGUUAUCGUAUAAGAGUUUGAACACUAUAAAGUCUUCAUUAAAUUCAAUUAUUCUUUGUUAUAAAAAAAUUGGAAAAACUAAAUCUGUAUGGAAAAUCUCAUAUUCCACAUACUGAUAUAUAUAAUGAAUGUGCAGUCAUCAUAUUUUUGAAAAUUUAGAAUAUAUAUAUAUAUUUUAGAAUAUUUGAAAGAUGUUUUAAUUCAUAUAUAAAAUAUUAAAAAUUUAAAUAAAUCUUAUUUAAAAAAUUACGAGAAAAUAUAUAUAUUUAAAAUUUGUCCAACAUAACAUAUAAAAUAACUAUCAACACAACACUGCAUCCUAAAAGGCGGAAGCCUUAAAUUUUCAUUUCUCGCAAAAAUCUGUAUUUGCACCUGAAACAAAGCCCCACCCCACGACACUAACGCAUUAGUAACAUGUAUAUGAUCAUUUGAAAUGUUAUUGAUCGAAACUUAACAUUAUAAAAACAUUUGAUUUUGAUAACGUGUGGAAUAAGGAUUUGUUCGAAAUUGGAGUUUGGUUUGGUGUGAAAGAAUUAUCCGAAAAAAGAAAAAUGGAGAGGAAAGUGGUAGAGUAUAUAAAGACGAAAUGAGAUGAGUGGGUUUGAUAGUCACGGACGAGUGAUUCCCAUAUGAGGAGGCAAAUGACAUGAGGUGCGACAAAAGUGUCACAAUAUCUUUACUAAUAAUUACAAUAACGAACAUUUCAGAGACUAUACUGUCUCUGUUGGAUGCAGAGCACUGUGCCCAGCCAUCACACCUUUAUUCAUUUACUUAACGCCAUAAAGAUCUUUCACCAAAUGAAUAAUGACGUGAGACCUAACCCUAAUUGUGAGCAACCACGGCACUGCCCUACAGUGCAUGCUAACAUGCAAACAGUUCAGAGAGAGAAGAACUCCAUAAGAAUGUGAGUUUCAAAAGUGGUCAACAUGCUCAGGAAUAUUUCAAAAUGAUAGGCUAAAAAGGCUCAUCUUUAAGCAAAGGAAUGUCAACAAAAGCACAUCAAAAUGUGAACGGCGUUUAUCAAGUUUUGUAGUGCUGCUAAUGGAGUUAGUAACCAUUUUUUUUAAUUAAUAAUAUUGUUAAAUAAGUAUUUUCAUAUAUAUAUAUAUAUAUAUAUAUAUAAAAUUAUGAUAUAAGCACAUGUCUCUUUUUUAAAAAAAGAAAGUAGUUUGGUGUCUGAUAAAUAAUAAUUUAAAUGUAAAAAAUCGUAAUUAUAUUUUUGAUUUGUAUGCUGUCAUGCACGUUUAUACUAGUCUUGGUAUCUUAUGUGAUGGUCUUUUAAUAAGAUUUUUCUUGAAAAGUAAGGAAUUAGGUGUAUGAAAUACAAAAUUGGUACUGCUUUAUUUUUAAGUUUUGUGUAGCUGUAGUGGGUAUGGUAUAUGUUAAUUAUAGCUAGAAAACAAUGGUGAAAUUGAAAGGAAACCAGGGUUUGUCGUUUCCAUUGGAAUAUAUCGAAUACGUGAAGAUGCUGAGCAAGAGAGUCAGCAUCCUCGUCUGUUGAGCAUUGUGCACAACCUGGCUGGCUUUACCGUAUUUACUUUUCUAUCUCAAACUAAACUUUAUCAUGAAAUUCAAUGAAACAGUAAAUUUAUUCAGAUGUCUAUCACUGUCAAAGUGAGAGAGUACUGAAGAGAAAGGGAUCGAUGUACUCAAGAAAAACAUAAGAGUUGCAAUUUAUAGAAUCGAAAUCAUAGUUAAUAGACCAAUUAGACUUCUUUUCAUAACAAAAUAACCUUAAAGCAGUUUUAAAUAAGUUCAUACAUACGUAACAAGCUAUUUCUUUAAUGUUUUUUCAUUGUGCCUAAUCUUUUCCUUAUUACAACGUUGACUUUCCAAAAUGAUGAUUUGGCUAUGCUGCUGCCUUCAGGUCAGGGUCCAAAGAACUCAGUACCCAUGACACGUUGUUGUUGUUGUAGUUGUUCUCUCUGUGAAAAUCCACCAUUCAUAUUUCUAACCAUUCCUCCAACACCCAAAAAGUCUAAGGUCAACUUAUCAGAACCUCCAAAGUUUACAUUAUUAAGAUUCUGGGGCAACUUAUGGUUGGACUCGUCGACGUUGUGAAACCCAGAAAGGUUGUUUUCAUUCCCUUGCAUGUUCCUAAACAAGGACGUGUUUCCAUUAGCAAUAGAGUUCAUCAACCCUUGAAGAUUGUGGUGGUGGUGGUGACCAUUUUCAGCUUUGGAACCAUUGCUAGACAUUCCUCUAAGUAAAGAAGAACCGCUGGUGGUUGUGGUUGAACCCAUUUGAGAGGCUUUUUGAAGCAACACAGUGGCAGACAUAUGAGGGGAUGAUACGUUUUCUAUUGAAUCACCAAAGAGCGAAGAAAAACUUGAACCCACAUGAUCACUUACUGCAGGGUUGUUAUUAACAAAGAGUGGUGGUGGUGUUGUUCCUUGGUCACUACCACUUAUGUUGUUGAAUUGAUCAGGGAUAAUGGUGCUAGUGCUAUUGCUACUUGGGAAGAAGCUGAGGUUGAAGAGAUUGGAAUUAGGAGCAGCAACUGAUGAAGAAUUGGAGUUGUUAGUGUUGCCAUCAAGAGCAGUGAGCUGCAUUAGGCCAUGUAGUUGCUUGUUUGAGAAUAGUUGUCCUUGUUGUGAUUGGUGUUCUUCAAAUAAUGUUUGAUUGGUGUUGUUAUUCAUGAAGAAAGCUGAGGAAGGCAUUGAUUGUGGUGAGUGUCCAAAUGAAGACUGAUUUAGAGGUGGAAUCAAGUGCUCAAACUUAAGAGCUGCACCAAUGUUAGUGACUGUUUGGUUCUGAUUUUGAACUUGGGAAAGUUGGGUACCCACUUGGGAUAGGGUUAAACUAGUGUGGUUUGUGCCAAACAAAUGAGUUCCCAAAGGAUUUGAGCUACUGGGGUAUCUUGCACUCUCAUGUGCUAAUGCAUCACAGAACGCCCUAUGAGUGAUGAAACUGUCACGCCUGCAUCAAAAAUAUAAUAAAAGGUAUACAUAAAUUGACCACAUCUUCCAUUAUAGAAACUGACAAAGGUGAAUUUAUUACGUCGAGUAUUAAGUAAGACUUAAAAUUAUAUUAUUAGUAUGCUCCAGUAAGAAUACAAUAUAAUAAUCAAAAUGUUCCUAAUCAGCUCAAUAACAACUAUUAUGCCACCACAUCAACACAUAAAAUUCUUGAACCAAACCAUAUAUUAAUUUUAAUAACGUAUAUAGGUAACCUAACACCGUCCAACCUAAAGAAUUUUGGAACUGUAGAAGUUCAAGAUAUAUAUAUAUAUAUAUAUAUAUAUAUCAAUUAUUUAACCAACCAAUUCCAAAGGUAUAGUCAAAUAUAAAAUAAAAAAUAAAAUAGGAAAUGUUUUUUUCUUUGUAAUUGGAACUGCAAUUUUGAAAAUAAAACUCUAAUGGAAACAGAGGGCCCAGGGGAUCAUUAUACCAAAAGAUGAUACACACAAGAAAUCCAAAUCUAACUGCCACUUUAAGGUCUCUCAUUAAUCAAUAAAAGAGAAUUAUUUUCAGCUUCUGAUGAAAGUCAAUUAUCAUAAGACCAAAGAUGGGGCCAGUUCAAUAAAUGCAAACAACCUCAAUACUUGUCUAUUUUCUACGACGAGAAUUCAUUUCAAAGCAAUGGUAGAAUACAAAAAUUGCUGAUAUAGAAGUGGCGAAUUAAUGGUGAGAAUUUGUUUAGCAAUGAAUAAAGAAAUAAUGGGAAGUGGUGACAAUUAUGCAGCUCGGACCCAUUGCAAGAAGAUAAGUGUAUUUAUAUAUGAACCGAGCCAAGCCGAAAGAGAACAAAAGCCAGCAUCUCCAACUCAUGUGAGAACAAACCCAGUAUCACUAUGCCUGUUGCCUUUGCAGAGUUGCUUAACUGCACGUGAAUGGGAAUAAGGGUGGGGGCACAGUUCCCGAGGACCAAAGUUGAACUUGCUUGUUUUUCUUCCCAAAGCAUGUCAAUUUUGGUACCCCAUUUCAACAGUCUACUCACGUGCGAGCAGUCUCCUGCCAUGCCUCCACUAACACCCAAGGAAAUGAAUGGAGAAAGCUCUAGUUCACAUUUAACUUCUGUUUCGACUAUUUACUCAAUUUUUUCAAACUAGCGACACCUUCUUAGGUUGCGUUUAGAAAUGCUUAUAAUAAAAAUGCAUCAAGCUUAAAAGCUUUUACUAGUGUGAAAAAUUCAAAACCCACCAAAGAGUAUGAGAAACCCUAAUUUUUCAUAAACUGGAUGGUGUGUGUGUAUUAUAUACACAUUUGAAGAAUGUAUAAAGUGCAGUGGAAACUAAGAUAAAAUGGGUUGUUACCUAGAGAAGAGAGUGCCACAGUCACAUCUGUACUCUCUAGUGCCACAAGUCUUUGAAUGUGCUUUCCAAUCAGAUUGAACAGCAUAUUUCUUUGAGCACUUUUCACACUUCCACUUCUUCUCACCAUGCUUGCGAGAGUAGUGCUUCUUGAUUCCAGUGAGGUCUCCCAAAGCCCUUGAAGGAUCAUGAUGGACGCAGGUGGGCUCGGGACAAAGAUAAACCUUUCUUUUUUGCUCUUUUGUACUCUUCUGCUUUAGCUUCCAAGGAAGGUUGUGUCCUCUUCUGUGAAGCUGUAGGUUUUGCUCCCUUUGAAAUCCUUUAUUGCACACCUCACAUAUAAACCUGUUUGUUGCCAUUAGGGUCUUGGGAGAUAGUUUUAUCACCUCCGCGUCUGGAUCUUUUACCCCCACAAAAAUGACAAACAACAAAUUAUUAAAAAACUCUCAUGCUUCAAUCACUUGCUCAAAUUGAAUACGCACAAGAAACAGAAGAAUAAUCUUUCUUUUUUGACCUUGUUUUAGAACCACGUAGGAAUUUCAAUAGUAAUGAUAAAAAAAAAAAUACAAAUUUACGAAGAUUAUUAAAAAAUUUAAACCAGAAGUUUCAUGCUUUUGAGAUUCUUAGAGAAAAGCAAUCCAACCAUGAACUGAAUGUCUCUACAGUAAAUUAAAGAAGUCAAUAGCCCUAAAUCACGAAUAGGGUUUCGUCGUGUUUGUUAUUGAGAAAAUGAAAGAAGUGAAACAAAAUUGCAAAGGAUGUGUAUAUGUGUGUGGUUUAAGCAAUCAAAUUUAACUAAGCUACUUGCUUGGGGUUCCAGGUUGAUUCCUCCGUUUCUUUUGAGGAACUGUGAUUGGAGCAACUGUGGAGGGUUGAUGGUGUGUUGUAAUCUGAGGGCUUUCUUCUCUGGUUCCCGAGAAUGGAGUGGAUGAGGAAGCUGCCGCCAUAACUGUUGUGCAAAUCUGGAACUAAUAUCUGAACCAAAAGUAAACACCUAUCAAAUAUCCGAAUAUCCUUCUGCUGAAAGGAAAAAAAAAACCUCAAUUGCAUGUUUUCUUGUCCCUUGGAAAGAAUAAACAAAAAGAAAGGGAAAAAGAAACUACAACAGAAUGAAGAAAAAAAAAAAGACCUGAAGUAUGUUUGAUUUUUUCCCUGCUUUCUUUGUCUGUCAGGAAAAAAGAAAAAAAAUAGAAACUGAGAGAUUAAAUCACAAAAGAUACCGAGAGGAAAGUAUCUUAGGAGACAGAAGCAAACAGGAGACGAAGAGAAGAAAACAAUUCACUCUGAAUACCUACUUAUCUUCUGGCUAUUGUUUUCUUAUCAUAAAAUUUAGCUACUACUACUCCCUCUUGUUAUUUCUCAAUCAUUUGGUGUCAUCUAGACAGAAGAAUAAUAAUAAUAGUUAAUAACAUGCUAGCUUGUCCUCCAAAAGGCAUAUAUAAAUCAACUCAUAUGUAUCUCUUUUGAUCUCUGUGUCUCUUCUUUUCCCCUCUUCUCCUCAUGGUUGUGCAUUUUGUAAGGAGGAAUAAUUAAGGGUGGUAAAGUUGCCAGCGAAGUGAGGGAGGUAAUUUAUGUCACUGUUAUACUGCUCCUGCACGGGCUACUGUGUCCUUAGCAGAUGAUGGUCUGGGGCCACCGACCCUUUUAGCUCUCACACUCACCUUAUCUCUCCUUCUCUUCUUUCCUAUCUUUUUACCAACAACCAUACAACUUUCCUCAUUUUUUACCCAACAACUAAUUGGUUUAUGCAUUAUUAUAACUAUUGUUAAUUAUUACCAUGUCUACAAUACUUUCUUUAGCAUGGUUUUUAUCAGAUACAACUUUCCACUGUUAUUCGAUUAUAUAUGGUUACUAUAAACUGACAUAAAAGUUCUAGGAUUAGUUGGUAAAAAAUAUUUUCAAUCAAAAUCUUGUGGUAAUUUACGGACAAAGUACUUCGAACUCUUACACCUAAUCGUGAUAACUCAGUAGACAGAGAGCUUGCUGGUAGAUGAUGACAAUAUUUGGGUUUAUCUCCUAUUUUAUAAUAAUUGUAAUGGUAGUUUGAACUGUUUGCUUGAAGAUAUUUGCUUGGAAAAAUGUUAUCAGUUUGUAACCACCUUGGUAAACAGGGAUAAACAGGGAUUUUUGAAAUGAUGUUUGCAUUGACAAUGCUAGUUUGAAACAUUCUUUACCAUGCUUGUACCAAGUCUAUGUUGAAAUAGCUGCUUCGCGUGUAGAUGAAAGGGGAGUAUGGUAUGAUAAGAUUUGGUUCUGGAGAUCAAUUUGUCGGUCAAAAUCUAAUGCUAUAUCAGAAAAGCCAAGGCAAAUUUGUACGUAACACCGAAGUGAAAGCUACAAAGAUCAAACCAAAAUAUUUGCAUCUCUGCACUUAUUGGAAGAUGCUAAAGUUGCGUCCACAAAAAAAAUCUACGAACCCUUUGAAGCUCAAUUUUAUAAAAUGUGGUCGACACUACCUCUACAAUAUCACAAGGACGAGAAAGUUAGGAGGGUUGAGGGGAAAGUAUAAAAUUUUGAGUUCAUUUAAUAAAUAUAUAACAUUACUUUUUAUGUUAAAUAUUCAUAAUUGUGUGUUUUUUUAAAUGAUAAAAAAUAAUAUAAAAAAUAGGAUUGUAUGAUAAUUAUUAUCUAUAGAGUAAUUUAAAUAUAAUUAUUUUAGAUCUCUUUUUUAAUUUUAGUUGUGUUAAUUUAAUUUACUUUUGAAUAAAAUUGUUCUUUAUGUUUAAAUUUAGUUUUAAUUUCAUGUUAUAUACUUUAUCUUUGUUUUUUUUAGUUCUGAAGGAUAAAAGUUGUAAGAAGACGUUAUCGUGAACAUUAAAAUAGAGAAAAUGAAGUUUCCUAUUUAGAUUUACGCGAUAAAAAUUUACAAGAAGAAUUUGUAUAUAUGCACUUUAAGCCACCCAUUUUGUAGGCAUUUUAAGCCAAACUUGAGAGGAAAGUAGUGCUUAAAUAGUUUAUUUUGGACAGCCUAAGAAGUUCCAUCUGAAGUCCACUAUGGCAGAGGUUGAGUGUCUAUAAAAGACAAAAAAAAAAAUAGAACCUUAUUUUCAUACAAUUAUACACUUUGAGACAUACUUGGAGACACGGAAAAAUUCUUCUCCUUUUGAAGGAUUAUUUCUCUAUAAUUGAUAAGAAGUAGCUAAGUUUUCUUUCUUUCGUAGAAGCUUAAUACACUUGAAUCUACAUGUAAUUGUUAUGUUUUUUUUUUUAUUUAUGUAGUAGCUAUUAUUUUUUUUAAUGUUCAGUUAUAACUGAUAAAUUGGAGUAAUGGUAUGAUUUUAUAAUUUUUAUUAUAAUUCAAAAUAAGUCAAAGAUUGGUAGUAGAAUCAAUUAUAUAAUCAUUAAAUAAAAACUAAUUUUAUAGUAAAAAAAUAAUUAGUUACUAUAUUGACUAUAUUAAAUAUUAUUUUAGAUAUUAAAAAAAUUAUUAGUAUCUAAAAUAAUUUCUAUUAUUAAUAAAAUUUAAAACUAGUUUCAAAUUGAUAUAUUUUCCGACCUCAAGUCUAUUAAGAUAAUAUCACUAGGAUCAAUCACCACAUCUGAGAUAUUUGGAGCUCGAAGUUCCAUUACAUUUUUUUUUUCUUAAAAGGCCUCUAAGAAGUUUAAAGCACUAGUGCAAAUAAUGCUUUUUACAACAACAUAUUUGGUUGGUUAAGAAAGAACCGGUGUAAAGAAAAAUACGGUGACAUUUUUGUAAAUAUUGUGCAUAUAUUACAUUGGUUGUUACUCCUAAUCGGUGUAAUAUGUGUUGAUUUUGAGUAAUUUUUUUUAAAAAAAUUACAUUUUUACAGUGAUAUAUUAAAUCGGUUGUUAGGUCCAAGCGGUUAAUAUGUAUUGAUUUUGAGUGUAAAAAAAUUAUUUAAAAAUUACAUUUUUCUAGUGACGUAUUACAUUGGUUGUGAGGUCCAACCGAUGUAAUAUGUAUUGAUUUCGAGUGUAAAAAAAUGUUUAAAAAACUACAUUUUUUGGGAUGAUAUAUUACAUCGGUUGGGAGAUCCAAUCGAUGUAAUAUGUAUUGAUUUGUCUUUUAAAUGUAUAAAUUUUAAAAGGUAAGUGAUGUUAGGGGCAUUUAUUACAUCGAUUAUUACUAAGAAUUGAUGUAAUAUAUGCAUUCACCUUGUUUUUUUUUUUUCUUGUGCACUCACUGCUCAUUUUGCAUUUGAAGUUUGUUUGCUGAGUGUAAGACGUCUGAGCCACUGCCACCAUUGCCUUUGUUACCACUAUUUUUGUUGCCAUCGCUCACGCUCCCUUUGUUGUCACUACCAUCGCUUCUCGUUGUCGCCACUGUUUGUUGUGCCCUUGUUCACUGCCACCGAGAGUUGUGUUUCAUUGUCGCCAUUGUUCGCGCUAAUGUCGUCAUUCGCUGCUACCAUCAUUCAUCUAGCCACCAUUGAAAACUUCUGGUCCUGCCACGUUAAGGUAAGUUUUAAAUAUUUUUAUUAUAAUUUAUUAUUUUAUUUAGAAAUAAAAUUUUAAUUUAUAUAGAAAAUUAGUUUUAAUAUAAUAUAUUAUGUUUGGAAUAUAAUGUAUAUUUUUUUAAAAAAAAUUAAUUUGUUGUUGUUAAUUGUUAUAUGUUGAACGCUUUGAUAUUAGGUUUGGCGGUGUUCGACCCUCGACAAUGUGUACUGUGUUUUAUAAUACAUCGACUAAAAAGUGGGAGAGAUUGAUGGAUAAACCAAGUGCUUUUAUUACAUAGUAAUGGAUUGAAGUUGGAUAAGUGAUUCUACACUUUUCUCAAUGAAAUGUAGAAGCUAUAAAUGGAAGAUAUUAUUAUCCAUGUGUUAAUUGUUUGAAUGGGAGACUAUAAGAAAUUAAGUUGAUACGAGAACAUGUUGUGAUGGUUUCUUGAAGAGUUAUAUAACGUGGAUAUGACAUAGUGAAUUUGUAGACAUAACACCUCUAUUUAAAUUUCAAUAUUCUAAUAUACACUUUGAAGAUUGCAUGGAGGACAUGAUUCAUGAUAUUUGAGAAGAUAGUUUCCGACAAGCACAUAUGUGUGAUUCAUUGAAAGAUGAUUCAAAACCAUCUCUAUAUCUUGGUUGUUCAAGUUUCACAUGUUUGUCUUAUUAAAAUUAAUUAAUAUUAAGGCAAAAAAUAGGAAGAUCGAUAAAAGCUUCACUAAAUUAUUGGAGUUGUUGCAUGAAAUGCUUCCAAAAGGUAAUACAUUGUCGACCCUUCAUAUGAGGUGAAGAAGAUAUUGGGUCUGAUGGGUACGGAGUACUAGAAAAUACAUGCAUGUCCUAAUGAUUGUAUUUUGUAUAGAAAAAAAGGUUUGAAUCAUUGUAUAGGUGUCCAAGAUGCAGGAUAUCAUGAUACAAAGUGAAAAAUGAUGACAGUGAGGAAGAUGAUGUGAAAAAGGGUCCUCCUAAGAAAGUAUUAUGAUAUCUUCCAAUCAUACCGCGAUUUAAACGUUUGUUUCCCAAUAUUAAUGAUGCAAAAAAUGUCACAUGGCAUGCAAAUGGAAAAAAAAUGUUAGGUUGUUACGACAUGUUGUCGAUUCACCACAAUGUUAAUAAAAUCAAGAGUAGAAUGGAAAUAUGUAAAAUGAGAUUUUUGUUGUUGGCGGGUAGAGUAUGCUUACUAAAGUCUAUCAUUUCCUCUUGACCCCAAUACUACAUAUCUUUUUAUAAAAUUCCAGCUAUUAUAAGACAUCAAAUUAGAACUAUCCAGAGGAAUUUUUUAUAGAGGAGGUGAAACAAAGGAAGAAAUAUAUCAUGGUUAAAAUGGGUGGACAUAUGUAAACCAAAGGAAGAGGGAGGCUUGGAACUUAAAGAUGUCAAAUUGUUUAAUGUAACAUUGUUGUCUAAGUGAAAAUGGAGGUUAGGGUAACCACAAAGGACUGUGGAAGAAUAUUUUAGAAUUUAAGUAUGGCUUUUGAGGAACUUGAAUGUUAAUGGAAACGUCACUUACGAGUUAUGGCGGUGGAGGGACCUAAGAGGGGUUUGUGGGAAGGCAUAAAAGGGGAAUGGUUUGUGAUAAAUGCUAGAUUUCAGUAAUACUUUAUAUUAAAAUACAUGCACUUGUGGAUAUUAAUUGAUAAAAUAACCACAAUAUAACCCCUAAUUCAUGAACUAAAACCUUUUUACAUAUUUUCUAAUUAUAAUUUGAAUAAGAACGAUUUAUUCCCAAAUUUGUGUUAAUUUCAGGAUUUUAGGAAAGAAUGAAGAUGAAAGGGUAAAAGGAUAAUAUACAAAGCUAAAAAGGGAAAGUUGGAAUGCACCAACACUUACCCUAGAGGAGACAGCUGUCAAGGAGAAACAUCCUGAAUCUUCUUUUCAUGCUUUCCAUGCUUGUAAUAGCCAACAUGAGUGGCUAAUUCUACCAUUUGGGAAUGAGAGUAAUCUGUUCAAACUCUUAUGUAUUGAGGUGAUAUUUAAAUAUAAUAUUUUUUCUUGAUUGAUGAUUGCUAUUGUCAUUUUAUUUGUAAUGCUUGUUUACCAUUAUCAAGAUCCUUAGAUUUAACUGGAAAGUACUUCUAAGUUUCUAACCUAAAUGAUAAUGUUAGGAAUAGAUUUGAAAUGUUAAUUGCUAUCAACAUCUAAUCGUAAUGAUAAGAAGUUUUUAUAAAUAUGCGAGAAAUCAAUAUUUAGGAGACUUUCUUAAUAAUUUUAUGUGAGUAAUCGAUAUAAAUUACUUUUAUAUGGACAUCAACAUCAAUCAAAAGAUAAAAUAUUACUAUGCUAAUCAAAAUACAAAAGAGUAAGAAAGACGAACCUCAAUCCCAAUAUUCCCAAUUGAACUAACAAUCUCUUUGACUUCUUUCUUUUUAAUUAUUGCAAUCACAACAAACUCCCAAAAAACUUUAUUAUUUUGUUUUCUAUUUAGUGAAUCUUAUACUUGAUUAUUCAAUGUUCCUUGUGGGUUUGAUAUCCUUCCUUAAGGAUCCUCAUGAUAUCCUUCCUUAAGGAUCCUCAUGAUAUCCUUCCUUAAGGAUCCUCAUGAUAUUCUUCCUUAGCAAUUACAACAUGGUGUACUUUUCGUAAAAUAGUCAUGAAGUUUUUGGCACCAUUAUUGGAAAACAAUUGAUUUUUUAGUAUAAAUUCCUAAAUAUUAUGAAUAUUUUAAUUGCUUUUAACUUUUGUUUUAUUUCAUUUUAAUUGCAGAUUUGUGUUAUUUUAUUUCAGAUUUAUUUUAUUUUACUUUAUUUGUUUUCAAUUUUAAAUUUUUUUAAAAAAAUUACUGUUAGUGAAUCCUUGUGUUAACCCUUGAUUUAGUUGUCUUAUAUGAUAUUAAAAGGUCAAAUUCCCAAAGACCAAAUAUUAUUUGAAUCAAAGAUUGAAAAGGCAGCUAAAAGAAACAAAAAGACAAAGACAAAAGAAAGACAAGGAGACGCUAGAGAGGAAUCCUCAACCACUUCUUCCCUUCCCAUUAAUAUUUUUCAGGAGGAGAAUAAUAUGGCAUAAGAGCAGACACCACCUCCUAGGAGAACCCUUGGAGAUUAUGCCAUGGAGCAAGGGCCAAGGCAUUUUUCUAGUAUUGCAAUACCUGCUACCUCUAGGGUCUUGGAGAUGAAACCCGUUUUCCUUAGUCUUAUCAGUACCCAUCCGUUUACAACAAUGGAUCAUGAGGAUCCAUAUACACAUUUGUCUACAUUUUAUGAACUGGUGGGAAAAAUGGGCUUCCAAUCAGGUGAUCUAGAAAAUGUUUAUAUGCGUUUAUUUUCUUUUUCAUUAGCAGAAAAGGCAAAAUAAUGGCUCAAAUCACAUCCAAAUCAAAGUCUCAAUAGUUGGGAGGAUGUAGAGGAAAAAUUUCUACAAAUGUUUUUUCCAUUAUCUUGCUACAUCAAAGCAAAGUCUGAAAUAUCUAUGUUCAGACAAGGAGCAGAUAAAGCAUUUUGUGAGACAUGGGAAAGAUUUAAAAUGACGCUGAGAAAAUGUCCAAAUAAUGGGUUUGAAGACAUUGCUCAAUUGAGCAUUUUUCACAAUGGUCUCAUAUAUGAUAACAAGAUGCUUCUAAAUGUUGUAGUUGGUGGUACAAUGAUGGCAAUUGAUGCAAAAGAAGCAACAAAGAUUAUUGAGGCAAUGACAUCCACAAAUUAUCAAGCCCAAAAUGAUAGUAAAAAUGAGCCAAAGAAGGGGAUGAUGGAUCAUAAUUCUUCAAACACAUUUUUGGCUGAAAACUAAAUUCAAACACAAUAGUUGGAAGCAUUAACUGCACAAAUGGCUAAAUUGCCACAACAAUUACAAGUUGUGCAAGCUUAUUAGAGUCAGAGUCAAUCAAUAAAGUGUGAUUUUUGUAGAGGUGAUCAUUCCAAUGGGCAUUGUACUUAUCAGAAUAAUUCAUCUGAAGAAGAAGCUCAUUAUAUGGAAAUAAAGGAGGUAAGGUGGGUUCUCCAACAAAAAUACUCAAGGUUGGAGAAGCAAGCAAAAUCAAAGUUUUAAGCAACAACAACAACCAUUAUAUCCUUCAUCCCAAGAGAGAGAAAAGCAAACUGGAGGAUACCUUGGAGAAACUGCCCAAUAAAGGAGCUUUGACAUUGUUGUUCAAAGUUUGAAGACACAAAUGGGACAAAUUGCACAACAGUUGAAGAAAUCCAAGGAGCAAUGUAAGUCAGUCACUACUAGAAGUGGAAUAGUUAUAGGAAAGGGGAUUGGUGAUAAUUUGAUUGUUGAAAUAAAGGAAAUAAUGGAAUUAGUGGCUCGUUUUUAUGUUGGAUGUUCAAACUUGUUGUAGGAUCACACCUCUCAAGUUGUUUUGCUAAGGGGAUAAAGGGAUUUUUAGGGCUAAAUAUGUUUACAGAGAGAGGAUCUCUUGGUUCAAUAUUGUAAAGAAUUCCCGCUACAUCAAAUAUUGGAGACAAGAUUUGUUGAUCCAUUGUAAGGAAUUUUUGUUACCUCAAACUUUGGAGACAACAUUUGGGUUGAUUGAUUAUUUGUAUAAAUAUAUAAGGACAAACUAGCUAACAUAAGGAAUAGUCAUAUGUUAUUUAUUUGUAUAUAAGGUUGAAGCAUUCCUAUGUACUCAUUCUUUGUAUAUAGAUUUUCUUUAUUGAUAAAAAAGUACUGAAUUGUACUUAUUCUUUUUAAAAUACCACUAGCAUACUAUAAAAUAAAAUUUUUUUAAAAGUAAAUGAUACUUAAAUAUUUCAUCUAAUAGAAAAAACUAUUAUUAUCUCUAAAAAAAGACUUUAAAAAAAAUAUCCAUAGCUAAUUUCUUUUAUAAAAUUUAUAAGAAAUAACUUCUCCAAAUAUUUUGUUUUUAAAUUUUGUAAAGUUUCACAAAAUAUUUAUAGAACAAGUUGCACAACAUAUAAAAAUAAUAAUAAAUUUAUAAAAAAACAACAUUUAAGUAUUUUAUCUUUAUAUAUAAAUAUCAAAUAAAAAUAAUUACUUAUAAUGUAUAUUAAUUCAUUAGAAAAAAAGUAAACCCCCAUAUUAGCAUAUACAUCUAUUCUAACAUUAUCAUAACACCUUCACUACAUGAAAAAAUGGUUUUAACGGGAGUUUAUUUUUACAUUAUUAAAGGUUAAAACCUCUCUUAAGUCAUUUACUCAGGGCAGUUUCUCCUGCUAAAUCAUCUUUGAGAAAUGUGUUUCCUGGGGUUUUUUUAAACAUUUGGAAAAAUCUUUCAAAAUCCCCGUUAAAUAUCAUGGGCUUAAGAACCUCCGUAAAAUUUCAUAACCUCCGUAAAAUACUAUGCGUUUUAGGACCUCCGUAAAAUACCACGAGUUUCAAAACCUCUGUAAAAUAUCAUAGGUUUUAGAACCGCUGCAAAAUACCAUAGUUUUCAAAACCUCCAUAAAUUUUAGAACCUCUGUAAAAUAACAUAGGCUUCAGAAUCUCCGUAAAAUAUCAUUUGUUUUAAAAUCUCUGUAAAAUAUCAUAGGUUUCAGAAUCUUCAUAAAAUACCAUAGGUUUCAGAACUCCGUAAAAUACCAUAGACUUCAGAACCUUCGUAAAAUACCAUAGGUUUCAGAACCUUCGUAAAAUAUCAUAUUUAGAUGUUGUUCUCUAAUUAAAUUAAAAAUUUAUUUUUAAAAAAAUAUAUUUAAAAAAAUGCAAAUUAAAAAAAAUAAAAAAUGUAAAAAAGAACUAAAUGAAAAAAAAAAUACUUCUUAAAAUGAAAGAUAAGUGAAAGAGGAGCAAGUCCAAUAUAGAAAGAUUCAAGCCUAGAAAGCGGGUAGGGAUAGAAAUGAUAUGGAAAUAGGUGAUGUUUACAAGGAAAAAGAAGAAGCAAAAAGCACCUAUGAUUGAAUCAAAUUUUCAAAUCUUCAAUGUUUAUCAUGCAUUGCAGCAGUAACUCACCUCCCAUCCUGGUUGAGGGCUAAGAAUUGGUGUUGCCAUGAAACUUGCCUUACCCUUUAUAUAAGUUUCUCUCCAUAUUAGCAAAAAGAUUAUAAAAGAAAGAAAAACAAGCAAUCAGAAUUGACAUGCCAAUAUGUUUCUUAAAUAGCAAAAGAUAUAAACUUUUUCAUCCAAACCUGACUUUUAAGAAAAACUAGUGCAACUGUAUUCCUUAAAAAAAAAUAUGAAAAUGGAUAAAUAGAUUUUGAAUAGACAACUGUACCUAAAUGAUUAUUUUAUUUUUUAUGAAAAAAAUUGUCACUACAUCUUUGAUGGUUUCGAAGUCCUAGUUUGUUAAACGAUUUCAGUUUUUAGGACUUUACUUUUUUUUAAGUAAAGUUUCCAUGUAAGUGAGUUUUCUUUUAUGAUUUAUUAAUUUAGGUUUUUCAAUUUAAAUUUUAUAAUAAUAAAGUUGUGUCUUGUUAUAUUUUAAAAAAUAAUAUUUAAGUGCUUAUAUUUUAAAGAUAUAGUUAAGUUUGUUUUAGAUGAUAUAGUCUUUCAAUAAAAAAAUUUCAAUUAGGUAAAAUUGGGUUUCAUUCAUUGAAAAAUGAAAUAAAAGUUGAAAUUAAUUAUGAUAAAUUUGUAGAAAUUUUUAUUUAAUAUAGACAAACUAAUUUUUAAAACGAAAGGAUAUAUUGUUCUAAGAAUCCAUUUUCUAGUUUGUCUUGUGAACUUUUUUUGUAGUUCUUAUAUUUGAUAGUUUCCUGAAAGGCUGAAGCAAAUGUUGAAAUCUCUCUUUCCCUAUUAUCACCAUAUCCAUAAUAGUAAUUGGCAUUGUAUGUAUGCAUGACUCAACAUUUAUCUAUUGGGGGAAGAUAUCACACAUGAUGAUGAUGGGUAUAUGUGAAUUGACAUUGGAAUGAAAAUGAAAGAUGAAGGGUCACCUGUGUGGACCAUGUUGUGUGUGGCUUUGGUUUGGAUAGAAGCUUAAAAUUGAGACACAUGAUGUGGGGUAAGUACCUAGAUAAGGACCAUAUGUCUUAAGAGAGAAAAUAGAUGAACAAUUAUAAAUCUUUUGGGAAUUUGGCUUUACCUACAUUUCAAGUACUUUGUUUCCAUUACUUGGACUCAAAGUUAUUCUUUCACGCUCUUUAGUAAAUAAGGUACACUUAAGUGGAACAAAUUAAUAGAAAAUGAUAUGUUAAAAAAUAAACUUUAAUGCAUGUAUAGUAUAAAAUAUUCUUAUAUUUAGUCAAUGUGGGAUAUUCAACAUUUUACAUAACAACCUGAUAGUGAGUGACCUGAUAAGUCCAACAAACUCUUACUAGGAUGACUUUAAUACCAAAUUAAAAGUAACUUUAAGUCUAACUUAACUUUACAAAACUGGUUAAUAAGUAAGCAUUCAAUUAUAUAUUAUAAAAUUCUAUUAUCUCUAGUCAAUUUCAUAUCUCCAUCAAAUAUUCAAUUCAAAGACUAUAUAUGAAUUGUUUGCAUCAACUUAGGUUUCUCUAGUAAAUUGCCAAGUUUUGUUCCCGAGAAAGCUGGCCAACAACGUUGGUUUGGUCGGUUUAAACCUUAAACCUUUUCGGGGUAAGGUUCUUGCCUCCUUGGUAUGAAGGGAUAUUUAGCUUGCCUCUUCGGUGGAUUUGAGGUCAGAGGAUAUUAGUCAUUUCAUCUCCGAAAGUGCUGUUAGAAAUUGUAAUAUGAUGUUUUGGAUGAAAAAUGAUGUGUCUGAAGCUCGAAAAUUUAGAAUUGUGGGAAGGAGAUGGGAUUUUUGUUUAAUGGUGAGGAGGAUGUAGUUUUUUGUUCUUUACAAGCCUUGGAAGCUCUGGAUUCUAACAGAAGGAAGAAGGCCAACGUUUUUGAUGAUGAAAAUAAUUAGUCUGAAUAUUAGGGGGCUAGGAGGAAGCGUUAAAAGAAGAUAUCUAAGAGAGUUAAUAAGCUUGGAACAAGUAGGCGUGGUUUGUCUACAAGAAACAACGUCUUUUGAGUUUGGUGAGGGGAAUUGUUUUCUAUUGUGGGGCUCUAACGACAUCGGUUAGGUUGAGAAUGGAGCGAGUAGUAACGCUGGUGGGAUUAUUACAAUAUGGAGAAAUAGUUGUUUUCAUUUGUUGAGGUACUCUAACGGGAACAAUUUUCUGUUAUUGAAGGGGUCUGGAAGGUUGGUGGUGGUGUACAGGUUACAAUUGUGAAUGUCUAUUGCUUGGGGUCGUUGAGGGAUAAGAAGAUAAUUUGGGAUGAGAUUUGUGAAGUAAGGACAAAUCAUUCGAAUAGGGUUUGGUGUGUAGUUGGGGACUUCAAUGCUAUAAGGAGGAAGGAGGAAAGAAAAAGUUUUGUUUUUGUGUCAUACUACAACAGAGAAAUUAAUGAGUUUAAUAAUUUUAUUGAAAGGUCAGAACUGUUGGAUAUCCCGAUGGUUGGCAGGAAAUUUACUUGGUAUAAACCAAAUGGAUUCGUGAAGAGCAGAAUCGAUAGGGUCUUGGUUUCCAAGGAUUGGUUGGAAACUUAGUGAAAUAGUAAAUAGUUUGUCUCUAGUAGAUCGGUGUCAUAUCAUUGAGCCCUAGUACUUAAAGACGUGUGUUCAGAUUGGGUUUCGAACCCGUUAAGAAGUCUGGACAUUUGGCAGAAGGAUGGCAGGUUCAUUGAUUUUGUGCGAGACAAAUGGACUAACUAUAUGACAUGUUUGGAAAAUGGUUGUUCAUUUUAAGGAAAAAUUGAAAAGAUUAAAGUAGGAUUUAAAAGUCUAGAAUAGAGAUAUCUUUGAGAAUGUAAAUAGCCUUGGGGAGGAUUUAAAAAAGAAGAUUCAAAUUUUGGACGAAAGGCGUUCUUAAUGAGGCAGAAGGAGAGGAAAUGAGGUUAUUGUUGGCAGAACAAAGCAAGAAUCUUUCAAGCAAGAAGCGAUCUAUUUUCUGAAAGCUCGUCACAAGUGACUCCAACAAGGUGACCUAAAUUCUAAAUACUUCCAAUCGGUCGUUACAUGGAGAAGGGUAAGAAAUAACUCUAAUGACAUGUUCAAUAACGGUUGUUGGUGUGACGACAAGGACGUGGUUAAGGAUAGAGUCAGAGAUUUUUUUAAGAAUAGACUCGAAGGAGUUAUUGGGCCUCAGGUUAGAUUGGACAACGUAUUUUUUAACUCUAUUUCUGAUUUAGAUUAUGAGACGUUGGUUGGUUCUUUCUCUAAAGAGGAAGUUAAGAAUGCAGUUAGUUGUUGUGACAGUUCGAAGAGUUCUGAUCCAGAUGGUUUUAAUUUUAGCUUCAUUAAACAUAACUGGGAUAUGAUAAAAAAGGACAUUCUCUUGGCAGUGAAGGAUUUUGUUGUCUCUGGUUCUUGGCCUAUGGAGUCUAAUGCUUCCUUUAUUUACUUGGUCCCCAAGUCGGAAAACCCACAAUUGUUAGGUGAUUUCAAACCCUUUUCUCUGGUCAGGUGCUUGUACAAGAUUAUCUCUAAAUUGCUUUCUCUUAGGUUGAAAAAGGUAUUACGAAAGGUCACUGAUUCCAGACAAUCGACUUUUCUUGAAGGAAGGGGUUUAAUGGAUAGUGUUCUUGUCGCCAAUGAGAUACUUGAGGAGAAUAAGAAGACCAAGAAGAGUUUCAUUUUUUUCAAGGAGGACUACGAGAAGGCCUAUGACUCUGAGAAGUGGGAUUUUAUGUACUACAUGUUAGGAAGGCUUGGUUUUUGCGACAAGUUGAUUUUAUGAAUUAAAUCUUGCCUUAAGUCUGCUUCGUUUUUUGUUCUUGUUAACGGAAGCCCGACUAAGGAAUUUUCUCCGAUUAAGGGGUUGAGACAAUGUAACCCCCUCGCUCCAUUUUUAUUUCUUAUUGUGGUUGAAGGUUUGGCAUGGGUCUCUAGGAAUGCUGAUGAGCUUGAUGCGGUAGAAAGUAUGGAGAUCGGGAGUAAGAAGGUUAAAGUUAAUAUGCUUCAAUAUGCAGACGAUACUCAGUUUUUCUGUCAUGAGAAUUCUAAAAGUAUUUUCAACAUUAAGGCAAUGUUAAAUUGUUUUAAGCUGGCCUCAAGUUUGAAGGUGAAUUUUUUGAAAAGCAGUAUUUGUGGGUUGAUUCGUUCACUAUCCGAGGUUUGGCGGCUAUCCUUAACUAUGAUGUUAUGAAAGUCCUUUUCAAAUAUCUAGGGUUGCCUAUUGGGGGGUGUCACAAGAGGGAAGUGUUUUGGGAUUGAAUGGUGGAUAAAAUCAAGUCCAGAUUGAGAAGAUGGAAAGGUAGAAAUUUAUCUAUGGCAAGGAUUUGCCUCAUCAAGUCAGUUCUUUCAUCUAUUCCAUUGUUCUAUAUGUCAAUGUUUUUUUAUGCUUAUAGUUUUGAUGAAAUAGAUUGUGAGUAUUCAGAGGAACUUCCUCUGGGUGGAGUUCUAAAGGGAGAAAGAUCGUUUGAGUUUCUUAGGAAAAGGUUUGUGAGUCUCGAGAUGGUGGCGGGCUUGGAGUAGAUAAUAUUAAGGAUUUUAACUUGGCUUUGUUGGGUAAAUGAAUUUGGAGGUUGGGGUUUAAUGGGGGGUGUUUGUGGAAGGAGGUUUUAAAGUCGAAAUAUGGAGGCUGGAGAAAGCUGAAGGAGAACA